AGCAUGUACUGAGUCGGGGCCAGUACCAGAUAAGCACAUUAAACUAUAAUCCAUAAACGUAAGGUAACAACCGAGACCUAAUGGUGCUGUGACAGCAACACGAUUGAGUUUGAGACAGUGAAAAUACAUAUGGUAUGUUGUAUCUGAACAGGUUAGCUUACGAGCUAAAGUUACUUAGCACAGAUGAAAGUUAAAACAAAGACGUUUAACAAACUGUUAAAGCACACAAACCAUCGUCAUAUGAGAAAUCCGACACUAUGACUCUCCACAAGUUGUCCUUCAGGUUGUUAUCUUUGUAAUAUUUGUGUCUUUUAUCAAAAAGCACUCUGUUCUUCGACACGUAAACAAUCAGCCGGUCGGCCAUGUUGGAUAUACCAGUGAAUCUGACGUCGCAACAACACGCAAUCUGAUUGGUCAGAAGUGGACACACACGAAGUGAAACUUUAGAAAAAUUGACUGUGAAACAAAAAAAUAAAUGCCGCAAUAUCGCAGGAUGGAAAAACGUUGCUGAUGUGAACGCUUGUAUUGACAGGAUACGGGUUCGAAAAAAAAAUUGACGUCUGAAAUAAUCGCACGAAAAAAACGCUAUCUCACACUUGCAGACCCUCAACACCUAAUGGCAUACAGACUCAUACGAUGAACUAAAGCCCUAUUCUAUUGUUCUUAACAGCUGUAUUGACAAAUUCAGCCUCUGGACAGCCAUUUCCAACCAUUUCCCUCGAAGUCCAUCUGUUUUUUUCUGUGAAAAAGAUGCAUUUCUCAUUUAUUCUUUUCAAAGUUAUGAUACUCAUGACAAUGUGAUGCUGAUGUACCAAAGGAUUAAGUAUCUCCAUAUUUGUGAAACCUCUACAGAAGUACAAUUCAUCUAAAUGCUCCACAGCCCUCAUUUUAACAACUCUCCUCCACAACAGGUAACGUUACUACUCUAUCCUCAUAAAUUAAUGACUUUAUUCUCGUAAGUAAUGACUUUACCUCAGUCUAAAAAAUAUUUUUUUUCUUAAUGUGGCCCUUAUGCUUCAUUGUAUUUAUUAGAUUAUUUUACUAAUACAUUAUCUUCAAAAAUCUCACUCCAAGCUUAGUUCAAAACUUGAAAGCCCUAAAAACACCUUUAUUAUGGUGUAAAAUGUUUGACCUAAGAAUAAGAACUCAACUGCAUAAGGAAAAAGUGUUCACAGCACCAACAAAGGAAAGUGUCAGAUGGCGCAAACACUGCAAAGUAAAAAAAAAAGGGACAAAAUAAACUCUGCUUUGUUUGGCGUCACAGAACAGCAGACCGAGAAACGUCUCAGAAAUCAAGGUUUCAAAGAAAUCUGAAAUAAUUAAAAGUAAAACCUCGUUAAAAAAAAAAAAAGAUCAACAGAGCACCACAGAGAAAAUGUUUCCCUUGUUGUGACAGCUCAUCCCACGAGGGUGACAUCCAAUGUGCUACGUGUUACAUUGUGAGUUUAUAGUCAUUUCUGCAGGCAGCCAAGAGGUGGAGGAAGUGACCUGAAAUCCAUUUUCAGUACCAAAUUUGUUAAACAGGACUGUGUGACUCAUUCCAGACGAAAUGUACGGACGGAGAAGUUCUUACGGCCGGGACAAGACAUCAUUAAGCUCCCUGCGUUUUCAGAUGAAUACCUGCCAUCUGUGCGGCUCGAGCGCAACAGAGGCUAAUGGCGGUCAGAGGUCGCGGAAGACCGGGUCCCGGGUGAAGCUUUUGUUGAUGUUGACCACGCUGCAAGCUCUUCAUGAGAGGAGAUGACUAAAAUGUACUUAUUUUUUACUCAAAGUGGAUGUUCCUACUGAUAGAGGGAGAGAGUGAUGGACGGAAACACGACAGAUGAACAUCUGCAGCAGCGACCCAGAGGAAGCAAGAGCGGGGACUCGCAGAGAACUGAGACCCAGACCACUUAGACCUCUCAGAUGACUGGUCAGCGGUCAAAAAUGCCUAAAAUCACUCAGUUCCUUUCAAAAGGAAUAUAAUAAAAGUUGUACUAUUUUAAGUUGCCUGCCUUGCCCUUACAUGCUUUGAUUCUAGUCGAUCAAGUGCUGCACAGAAAGCCGAGUAUUUUCUGCACCUGAGCAGCUGGUAGAUGACUUUCAAGAGUGCAAAGUAACAGGCAUUAGUAAACAUGAAAAAACUCCCACGCAACCUCUUCAAAUUCACACGUACAAUUACACAUUUGCUUCGGAGCCUCAAUUAAACCUGUGGGCGUUCUUGCAUAUAUCAAAGACAACAUAACCCUGUUUUUCCAAGUAGGUCCGACCUCUAUAUUCCAGUUUAGUCAAACACAAAUGCAUGCAUAAUUGCUGUCAAAACGUACAUGAAAGAGUGACUGAUUUAUUAUUCUUUUAGUAGACUUUAUAUUACACUUGCAGGUUUUAAACCAACGCGGCAAAGUAAGAGUUGGACUCUGGCUGUGAAAUGGAAAGAGAGGGACCUAAUCUUUGAUGUGGAGUGGAAUUGAGGGCUUCCUAAAAAGGAAUUAUUUAUUGGAAGACGUGAACAGAGACCAAAAAGUUAAAAGCAUCAUCUACAGCAACAGGUUAUAUAUUUAUAGAGUCUUUUAAUAUUCCUUUAAAGGAACAGAGUUGAUCAGCAUAUUCAGGUCGUCUUUAAUUGUAGGAGUGUCCACUGUAAUUCAGGUGGACAGGGUUCUUAAAGGGAUAUUCCGGCGUAAAAUCAAAUCAGGGUCAAACACACCGUAACACCAAGUUAGACACCCCGUCAAGAGAUGAACGUUGCUGACCGCUUGCUUCUCGGGAUAUACCAACUUUAGUAACAACCGCACAAUAGCAAUACACAGCGGUCUCAGGAGCCACGUGCUCAACCAAAACGCCACUCUAUAGCCACAAAUAAUGCUCAGAACAGCACCUAACUUCAUCAACAGUACAUUUAGGGUCCCAGCCAUAGCACUAGUCACCAAACAUCUUUUUAGCUUUGUCUAAUUUCUUUAGCGAAGAGACUAAACACAACUCACCUACUCUCUUCCAGCAGCUGCUUGUUUGAAGUGAGACCUCGGACGAGUCCAUUACUGCUGCGGGGUGACGCAGCUCAAGGAAAAACAUUUAUGAUAAUUUCUUCAUGGAAAUGCAAUCAGAUUGAGACACUAAGGCAGAAAAACUCGUCACCCCACUGCAGUCGGUAAUGGACUCGUCCGAGGUCUUGCUUCAAACAAGCGGCUGCUGGAGGAGAGUAGGUGAGUUGUGUUUAGUCUCUUUCCAAAAGAAACCAAGCAAAGCUAAAGAGAUGUUUGGUGGCUAGUAGUUAGGUGAAGUUAGGUGCUGUUCUGAGCAUUAUUUGUGGCUACAGAGUGGCGUUUAUGUUGAGCGCGUGGCUCCUCAGACCGCUGUGUAUUGCUAGCAUGCAGUCAUUAUAAAGUUGGUAUAACUGGGGAAGCAAGAGAAGCAAGAGGUCGGCAACAUUCACCCCUUUAACUCAGAAACUGCACCCAGAUCCAGGCGCCGUCUCAUGUUGUUUGUCCCGAAUUUUGCCUCUCAGGUUGCUUAAACUUCUCGGUUGAGUUACGUUUUAAAAAGAGCAGCAGAAAACCACACUCUCUUCCUUCGCUGCUUAUUCUUUCAGCAAAAUAAUAAAAUAAUCAUCUUUCUUAAUGACUCUUGAAGUAAACAUCAGUUAGAAAUACUUAAAAACCAACCUAAAGGUUCCUAAAGUCUUUGCCUUGCGUGCUUUACUCAUGAAAAUUCAACAUUAAAAGGAAGUACAACACAGUUGGGAUAACAUCAGGCUAAAUUUGAGCGGAUGGGGACCUUAUUUUAUGGCCUUUGAUUCACCUCAAGCAAAUUGUUAUGAAAUUACAAUUUCAUUUAUCAUUAACUUUGCUGUGAUGCUGGUUGUAUUAAAAGUCUUCUGGUGCUGCUUGGAUAUCAUCUGCUUUUUAAUAAAGUCUUUUUGAUUUGGCUUGAUUAAUACGAGCGUGGGCUGUUCUUUACCUGGCGGCUGCUUCUAGUGAUUUAUUUGAAAUCUGAGAUGAUUAAAUCUCCUGCGAUGAGGUUUUCACUGGCGAUGAAACAGACCUAAAUUAAUAUAAACGCCUUUUAAUAACAAACAAAAGCAAACAAGACCAUCAGCGUAAAGAUGAGCUUUUUCCACAUUAUUGUUUUCGGAUUAUUACCGCCUUGGGGUAUGUGUCGGAUAAAGAGACACACUGCUAAAUCAGAGAGUCAGAAUGACACAGGACAACAAGAGAAAGGAGGUGGUAUUUUUUUCCACAAGAGGGCGCCAAAAUCCACCAACAAAAAACUCCUCACAGGAGCUUUAAAUGAAACAAAAUCUUGAGGCUCCUGAUCAGCCGCCAAUCUCCUCUGGUUCUGCUAGUUUAGACUGACUCCUUUUGUAGUAGACCUCCCGUUUGUCCUGCGCUCACUAAGAGAAUAUAAAUGAAGUUUAGCCCUGACUGACAGCAGAGGGAGCCCGGCACGUGUCUGAUCCACUGAAGAGCAUAUUUUCCUAUUGUGUGCCCACACACACGCAGCAAGAGUGAAAAAGAGAGAGAAACAAUUAAAGCAAAUGACAUAUGAUAGAUUGUCCUCCUUUUAUGUCUUAUUAUUCACUACAUCAAACUAGAGCAGCAACAAGCCUGCUGCUCCUCUCUGUCUUCUCUUCCUCCUCUCAGUCUCCAUUUGUUAUUGACCCAGUUUCCCGACUGUGUGAAGUCUUGCUGCCUGUUAUGUUCGGAUGAGGAGAGGAAGGUGGUGGUGGUGGUGUUGGGGGCAAAUGAUGUGUUGGAGAGAAAAGCUGUGUUCUAAAAGGAGAGCAGGGCAGAGAUUUUAGAGAUGGCAGCGAGCUCUUUCCACAGAAUCUUUUGAUUUUACCGGUAAUGAGUUCAGAGCCAAAGGCUGCCAUCCAGCUCCAGAAAUGGCUGCUUUUCUCCCUGCCCUCUGCUGCUACUAUAGACUGUCAUUUAAAGAGCUGAGUUCCCAGCGUCUGCUCUCCUUUGAUCCUUCUCCCGAACUUGUCUUUUGAUUUUAUAGGUAAAAACAGAGACUGAGAUUGACUUAAAACUACCUACAGAGUGCAAGAUAACAGGAAACUGUCGUGUUUAACUGGUGCCACCAAGUUGUUAUGGAGCAUUUACUGACAUACUACCAUCACAAUUAAAUCGAAACUGCAUGUUGGGACUGCACGGGAAUGGGACAUCAAUCAAAUGAAAGAAAACAAACUUAAAGAAACCACAAACUGAGAUAUUUAAAGGUCUAGUUGAAGGGGGAGCAAACACGUUAGAGGAAAAAGGAUCCUGUACGAGUGCUAGAUCGAUACAGCAUAGUAUCGCAAUAUUUUAUCUGGUAAUAUCUUGUAUCGUCUCAUUUAGCAAGUAUUGAUUUUUCAAAUUAAUUACUAAUAUGAAGUCAAAUUUAUGAUAAUGGAAAAAUAAAAUCAACUUUUUGUCAAGUGAGGUUGGCAGAGGUGACAUCACAGAGCAGCAGAAAGUUACUACAACAAAUAUAUAUAUUUAUAAAAGAAGUUUAUAAAACCCUUCGAAGCUCCACGGUUUUGUACGUAAGUUUCGACUUACUGAGUUACCGCCAAAUUUCACCACACCCAGAACGGCUCAGAUCCGGAAUGGCGGCGAUUUUCACUGUCUUCCAAUUCCUACCAAAACUGUUUGUGAGGCGAAUUUUGUGGUGGAUUACGGACAGCUUGAAUCGCAUGAUAACAAGUUGUCUUUAGCUACAUAGGCUAACCAUAUAAGCAGAGGAGGAAAUCUUCUAGACUCCGCAUCCUCUCAUUCAUGGUGUCAUCGGGAUGAAAUGCUGAAAUCAACCUUUCACCUGAUCAUCCCCAUCCGUUUGCGUGGUGUGAAAAACUAUCUGCCUUAAACACAGAGUGCUUUAAUUUGAAAAGAAAGCGGAUGUUUUAUUUUGUGUCUGUGCCCGACUUCCUUUCCAGCGUGGGCUAAUCUAUGCUUGCAUGCUCCAGCAUCUGGGAAAAAUCGAACUCUUGCGAUCACCUGCGGAUUUCGGCGAUCCAUAGCGGAACGGAAAGUAGCCGGUGGUAAUUGACACAUUAACUUGAAUGGUUACAAUCAGCCAUGAUCAGUGGAUACGGCCUAUUCGUAGCCGUUCUGGAUGUGAUGGAAAUUGGGGGUUAGAAGUGCAUAAAAGACCCAAAAAAACUCUCAAAAUUAACUAUAUGCGACUCCGUGACUCCAUCCCUGUGUAGUCCUGUCCUCUUUUUGGGAAGUCAGAAUAUGGCCACCUUAAUAUAUAUAUGUAUAAGGUUGGCAAGAUGUGCAGUAUGAAAAUAAAAUACUGUGUAAAUAAGACGGACCUAAAGGAAAGACAAAUGCUAAAUUAGCUAAACAGUUAAAAAAAUGUAUAAAUAAUAUAUGGUAAUAUAUGGUACCGCAAUACUUAGUGUAUUGCAAAUGUUAAAAAUCACAAUAAUACUGUAUCAUGACCCAAGUAUCGUGAUGAUAUUGUACUGUAGGGCUACGAGUGAUUCCCACACCUAACAAGUGCUGCCUUAAAGUUCUCUGUGUUUAUUUUAUUAAACGAUGCGCUGCAAAGAUGGUAAACACAAAGACAGAGACUUGGUGAAUUUGCUUAAAAUCACACUUGCUUAUCAUUUGAAGUUGAACAUGCAUGACUCUGACUCAACUCUGACACGAGAUUCCGUCUGUGAGGUUUCGCAGAAGUCUGAGCGCUGGCUUGGUUAAUUAAUGAUUUCUUUAUCUCUUUUCAGUGAGACUUAGACGACUCUCUGCCUUUUUUGAAAUUAUUGACCUACUUGGAAAUGCUGCUUCACUAACCCCAAAUGAACCUGCUUCAGUAUGUUCUCAUACAUUAGAGUAGAAUGAAGAAAAUUCAGAACAAAUUGGUGAUUGAAAAUAAACCAGAAGGCUGCAGAGAUGAAGAACCUUACUGUCCUCGUCUCCAGCCUCACAUCUCGAAUGCAUUCAGGCCAGAGCGACGCUAAAAAUACCGUAUAGAGAAAUAAAUUGGAGAGCCUGAAUUGUCCUUCUGCGUCCUGGAUCUCAGGUAGGAAGAGUCAGAACUGUCUAAACUUUCCCUUCGAUUUGCAUUUAUCUCCGAACAUGCCGCAUGCUAUUGCCAUUUGACUCCACCUCAUGGUUUUGAUCCUCUUGGAAAAGCACACCAAUUUCACAGCCGUGUUUUUUUUACAGAGAGCAAAGUAAUCCAGCCAAACAUUUUCCAUUUGAUGACAGUCCUUGCCUUUUAGCGGACGCCAAAGUGCCCCCCUGCUAUCAUUUUGACGUAGCUGAUUGUUAAUGACCAUUUUCCUCUUAGCCUCAAAAGGAUUUAUCCACUUUUAAUACAUUAAUCCAGUUAACAAUUUCAGGAACUGUCAUAUCAAUCUCUUGUUUUCUAAUCAGAUAAUGCAAAGACUCGGCACUCUCGGACCAUCUCGUUUAAUUUCAUUCGAAGCCGUGCCCUAUCCUUGGAAUUAGUUUAGCCAGAGCGGACCACAACUCUCAAAUAAAGACAAUUAAUGUCAUUUUACUUCCACGGGCAGCAAGCAAUCAUUGUUAUACACCAUAAGGGCAAAAAGUCAUGUGAAGUUCAGCUUUGACUUUCGUGAAAUCACAGCUGGCAGUUGUGUCUCAUCCUUUCCUGGGCUGUCAUAUACCAUGUUGCUGCUCUCACUGCAGGCGCCGAUCAGCGGCAAAGAAUUAGCUAUCAAAUUCUGACUCUCUGUCAACCCAUCCCCUCUAAAGUUUAUCUCCUCUGUCAAGGCGUUCGCUUGUUUAAUCAUAACUGUCUCCCCAUCCGCAGUAAUUGUUUCUACCCAGGAGGGGGUUUCAGAGGUUUAGGAAAUUGCCUUUUUAUGCUGCAUUAGUUCUCUUGCCAUUUAUUUGUCUCUCUUCAUUUCAGUUUUUUCUAUUUGGCUCGGAGUUGAUAUGCCUCUUUCUCAAUUUACUCCCUUCCACACCCCUUCAUCAAUUCUUCCCCGCCCGCCUCUGUCACUUCGGCCGACUCCAUCCUUUCAUUUUCCCUCUGUGGUCAAAUCCGCUGCAUUUGUUUCACAAACAUCUUAUCUCCUUGUUUGUGCUAAUGAACAUGGUUUCUCGGCCGGAUUCCUCUUCCUAGAAGGAAUAUAUAUAUUUUAUUAGGAGGGCAACAACAACAACAGCAACAAAUCAUCUCUGGCUGAGAAAUGGGUUUGAUUGCCUCUCAUACUGCCAGUCAAGUAAACACAGAAAAGAGAAGACGAUUUAUACGCAUUCAGUCAGAACAUUUACAUGCACUUUCCCUUUGAUAACGUGGUUGCAGAUUGAUCUUCUCUGGCUAAAUUGAGCUGAAAAUGCCCUGGUGUUUGUGGUUGGAUUAUAGACUGUAUAUACUAUGGACAACUUGGUUCUGCCUUCUGUCAAGAUACGUAUUUGAAGCCGAAAAGCUCUUGGCAAUUCCGCAGUUUUUCUCCACUUCCUAAUACCAACAUUGUGCAGUAGCGUUGUGCGCAUUCGGCGGAAAAGUCGCGGAGAGUCGCUGUGAUGAUGCUCAGCUCAGACAGCGUAUCCCCUGGGUGAGCUACGCAAUCUUUGCAAUCUAGGCUGUAUCAAGUGUCAAUCAUAGAAAAUAUGAACCCCCUAAUCAGUGUUGUUUUCUUUGAUGAAAAUAUUUCAUCAACGCCCCUUUUUUUCCACGACGAAGAUGUGACGUUGACGAGCUAAACAUAAGUCUUAGAUGAUUAAAAUGUGACGAGACGAAUGUGCGUUUACGUUGACGAGACGAGACUAGACAAAAAUGUUUGUGGUGGAUGACGAACAGAGUUGCAAAAUUCAUGAGCAUUUCAUCAGUGAAACACCAAACAUAUAUUUUGCAGUGUUGUUUUUUUGUUGGCGAUGACGUUGACAAAAUAUUUUCGUCAAUGUCAUCGUCAACGAUAACAACACUGCCUAUAAUAACUUUUAAAAACAGAGCUGUACAGAGAAAAGAGGACUUGAGUACAAACCAGUCUUACAGUAACUACUCAACUGAACUCAACUUUAUUUGUUAAGCACUUUAAAACAACCACAGCUGAACAAAGUGCUGUACAUAACUAGACAAAACAACAACAUAAAAAACAAUUUAAACAAUGGAUAAAAUAAAAGCAGAAUUAAAAAGUAAAAUAUAGUUUCAAUGUUUUUUAAAAACAUAGAAACAAAUAACUAAAAACAAACCAUAAAACACUAAAACAGGAGCCGAGUCUCAUGCAGGGUUGAAAGCCAAUGAAUGAAAACUGAAUAAUGACUACAUGUCAACAUUGCAAGCAGGGGGGAGAAAAUUUUAUAUUCUGUGUAAUAAAUUUCUAAAGUUCUAAAGUCACCAGAGGGUGCUGUUUUCAGAGUGGCUUCACCCAGCGAGGAGGCAGAUGGCGUCCAUUCUAUAUACAGCAAGAAACCUCAACAGGCAAAGAACGGACGUAAAAAAGACGAAACUUUCGUGAAAGUACCGGACACUCUUGUUGCAAGUGGGUUCUGUAUUCCCAACAUCGAAGUUCGUGAUUCGGGUUUUACUAUCACUGCCAGGGCCACAUUUGUUGAGUACGCUCGGUCAUUCUCCCCCUCACAUACGAAUUUGUGAUUCGGUUUUUACGUGGUUGCUCCAAGCUGAUGUCACGUCCAGCCAAACAGAGAGCACAAAUGUGCUUCUCCGGCAGUUCGCACAUCCGCCUACUCACCAACAUUGCUAUAAAAGAAAGCUGGGACCAAAUUUGUUCAAGGGGAACUCUUUAUUUCAUAAGUGUUGUGUCUGCUUUUGAACCUUUAACCAUCUGGUGGAGAACUGAAGCCAGUCUCUACAUUUAUUUGCACGGCCCACACUCCUCCUGUCUUUUUGAGAUGUUGUUUACUCUAUGCAUACUCCAGUUACCACGUUACUUAAAUAGGUCUAGGAUGAAAGCUGAUGCUCAAUUAGGAGGUAUUAGGGCCAAAAUGACAUCCGGUUAAGAGCUACAGCUGCUGUGAAGUCUGACCUGAGAGUUUCUGUUUUCACUUUGAGAAAUAUCAUCUCGAUUAAAAGAAUUAAUCUGAUUUUGUUCUCAAAAAAUAAAGCGACCUGGCUUAAAUCAAUUUACUGAGACACGAAUUCAAAGAGAACGGAUCGCGGCAGCUGAUAGCGUCAUGAAUUGCAAAUCAUUUGCCGCCUUAAAUCUCAAAGCACAGCCUGUUCAUUAGAUUCAAGUGCAAAACGCAGCUUCAUUGCCCUAAUUUAUGAGUCUGAUUGUGCAGAUGAGCUGUCUGAGCUCCCAGUUAUUGCCGUGCAGGGCUGGGAUUGAUCUGGUCCACAAAUAGAUGUGCAGGAAAGAGAGGGGGAGUCCUCUUUUCGGGUUUAUUUCGAGAUCCUUAUUGACCGAUGUGAUACAGGUUUCACCAUUUAUAAAUAAAGCCUCCCUUCUGGGCGAUUUCGGAUGCACCCCAGUGUUACGUUUGAAAACCUACCUAAGUGAAGCAGCGUCUAAUCUGAUAGCACUCUCCAGCAUUUGGGUCAAAUAUUAAUCCGCCCUUCGAUGGAGUCAGUUUUUGUUUGUGACUUUGCAGGAUGAAGCUCCGGCUGAGUUAUGUAAUGCUUCAGAGCUGGCAUAACAGGCUCCCACUCACCGCAACAUUACAUGACGUCCUGUAAUAGACCCUGCCACCUUCUUUACGAGACGAGAGGCAAAAAUACGCAACAGAGUCUGCGUUUGUUUACAAUAUUGCUGAAAAUAUUGUUUUAAUAAAACCCUGACAUGGUCACUUGCACUUUUGACAGUGCAAAUAAAACAUUUCCUCUAUAACAAGCGGCAAAAAGUCCCAAAAAAUAAGGUGCAUGUGUUCUGAUAGUUCAGCUUGUUAAAAAAAAAAGGGCCAUUAGAGAGCCCGGUCUAAAAAUAGAAAUGAGUGCACCAUAGGAUGCGUAUGUGCAGCCCCCCCCUUUCUCCUUCUGUCUCGCUCACGUGUCCCUGACGUUUAUUAAACUUGAGAAAAAUGGAGAGAGAGACAAACGCAGGCCGAGGGUAUAAAAUAUUAACGCUCAGUAUGUCCAGGCCCUUCGUUUCUUCUCCCCUCAUCCUCCUCCCUUCAAUGUAUUCACAGUUGUUUUUUCUAAAGCAUUGUAUAGUAGCACAUUUAUGCCAACACCCUCCCCCUCAGGCCUUUAGGAGGAGAAAUUAGUCGCCAAGGUACAUCAGAGGCCUAUAAUUACCUUUUAAGGGCGAAAUGGGGGUCAUUCAUUGGCGAGUCUCUUGUUGGCUGUCUGCAAGCUGUCUUGACACAUUUACACAGAAAGCCUCUGGUAUAUGAUGCAAUCAAACAGCUGUAUGUCCACAAGGACGCAACUUUUCCUCUUUUAGAGUAAUACAAUGGAGCGCGCCAUGCCAUCAUUUCCUCUGGGGAUGAUUUCUAUUUAUAUUACAGAAUUGAACAAUCACAAUACGCUUUUAUAUCAUCCUGCCUCCCUGGGGUGUUUCAGCGCCGUGGUGAUGAGGCACAAUUGCUAUGCUGCCGAGCAAAAUAGUAUAAAAGCUCCUGCUGCAGGUGAACAUGAUUCCUUUUGAUAAUUUCCCAUUUCUGCUGAUUUGAGUUUGCAGUGCAAGACUGGGAGUGAUGGAAGAAGCACCAACCACCGCUCCCAGAUGAUCUUAUGUGUCAAGUUUCGGUUUAAGUCAGCAAACUCAGCUCUGUUGUCAGCCUUAACACCUGCUCAGCUCCAACCCAACAACAUGGAAAUGCUUUAAAUAUCGGACAAGUUGAAAGCUCCGCCAGAGGAAAGUGUGAGCGAGUCCUCAAAGGCCGCAGCCAUGAUACUGACUGUCUGGCUGUUGGUGUUUUAGCAUUUGUUUCAUUACUGUUAAAACAAGCUAAAAAUACAGUCUGAUUAGAAUUACUAGAGGAAUUAUUACUUUGGCUGAUAAUAAACAAAUGAAUUGGCUUUAAGUUUCCUGCUAUUGGGAAAAUGUAAAGUACCCUGAGGAGAUUUAACUCCAUGAUACCCACUAUAAAGCAAACCCGACAACUGGCUGGAUGGUUAUAUGGAAUAUAUAAACUGUAAAACUUUGUUUGCUGAUCUGCUUGUAAUUGGGGACAGGCAACUAUGCUCAAAAGGCUUUUAUUUUUUUUAUCUUUUUUACGAUGCACCAUCUUUUGGCACAGCAAUCACGUUGAAAACAGGUUGAUUCAGGCCAAGGCUGCAUGGCACUGGAAAAACUUCAACUUAUGAAGAAAUACAUGGAGUAUUGCCACUAAUUUAAUAACUAAAUAAUACAAUUUAACUAUUUUUAGAGAAUAUUUGAUAAAGGGUAUCCUAAUGGAUGUCAUAAAGGGUGUUAUAACACCCUUAUAACAACCUUCUUCAGACCUUAGGACACCCUUUAGUAAACCCAUGAUACGAGUGUUACAAUGGGUGUUAUAUAGGGUGCUAUGAAGGGUGUCUUAAGGUUGUAAUUAAAGGUUGUUAUAAAGAGUAUCAUGAAGGGUGUUAUAAGCAUUGUUAUAACAUGUGUAUUAAAGUGUGUUAAAAAUGAUGUAAUAUAGGUUGUUACAGAGGGUUUACUGAAGUGUUUAAUAAAGGGUGUUUAGAGGGUUUACAUUUGGUAUUACAAAGGGUGAUAUAAAAGGUUUAUAUUGGGUGUCAUAAAGAGUGUUAUAAUGGAUUUGUUAAAGGGUGUUAUAACACCCUUAUAGCAACCUUCAUAAGACCUUAGGACACCCUUUGGUAAACCCAUUAUAAGAGUUUUAUAAUGGGUGUUAUAUAGGGUGAGAAGAAGGGCUCCUAAAGGUUGUUAUAAAGAGUAUCGUGCAGGGUAUUAUAAGGGUUGUUAUAAAGGGUGCACUAUAGGGUGUAAAAAGGGUUGUCAUAAAAGGUAUACUAAAGAGUGUAAUAAAGGGUGUUAUAGAGGGUUUAUAUUUGGUACAACAAAGUGUGAUAUAAAAGGUUUAUAUUGAGUUUCAUAAUGGGUGUAAUACAGGGGCUAUAUCGGGCAUAACAAAGGAUGUAAUAAAGGCUGUUAUAGAAGGUUUAUAUUUGGUAUAACAAAGGGUGAUAUUAAAGGUUUAUAUUUGGUAUGACAAAGGGUGAGAUUAAAGGUUUAUAUUGGGUAUAAUAAAGGGUGUUAUAAAGGUGUAUUUUAGGUAUAAUAAUGGGUGUUUUAAAGGGUUUAUAUUGGGUUUAAAUGGGUGAAAUAAAGGGGCUACAUUGCAUAAUAAAGGAUGUUGGGUGUUAUAUUAGGUUUAUAUUGAGUGCAAUAAAGGGCAUUUGUUACAAAUGAUGUUCUAAAGAAGAAAAAGAAACUCAAAUAACUAAUACUUUUUCCUGGGAGUUGAUUGUAAUUCAAAAUUCAAGCCCACACACAUCCACACACUCCAUCCCCCUGUUCUUUCUUUCUUUCACAGUUUUGCCCUUUGAUCAACGGAAACUGCAGAAACUACGUGUCAAGGGCGGUUAGAAGCAUGUGUUCUGUCUCCAGAUGAAAUGCUGCGCAUGUAAACACUCCAUGUUUGUGAGUCUGACUGUCUCCAAACCCCGCGAAGCCUAUAAACGUCCUCCACACUCAACAUCACAACAUCCUGCUGAGAUGACAGCAAUCUCAGAAACCAUCACCGCUGAUGAUGAGAGCAACUUCUGACACAGUUUGUUGUCAUUUUAAGAGCGUGCAGAUAACAGCUUUGGGAAUCCUGCGGUAAGCCGCUUAAAAUCUUGACAAAGACGGUUUUUCCUUCUUCCUUUUUUGUUUUUAUAAUGUUCGCCGACAGGAUUACAGAAAAUCUAGGAGCUACAUUUUCACUAUAGAAUAAAAACUGGUGGUGUUGAUUGUGCAAGACAUGAUGCGUUAAAGCCAAAAUAGAAAAAGGAAGUGUACUUCUUUGACUUUUAAAGAGCUUGACCCAUUCAGGGAUUGGACGUUACAAUCCAAUGAGUGAUAUUUAAUCCUCUCAUCCCUUCCUCUCCUAUCCCAACUUACAACAUCAAAUACUGACCCUUUGUCAUAGCCAGUUCAAUGUGCAAGUUGGGGCAAGACCAGACUCUUAAGCCAACAGCUGCUAUGAAGAAACUUGACGUUGUGCCCAAAUGCUCUGACUUUAUUUUACUCACAUUGUGAGACUGAUUCUUUUCCAUACACUGAGAAUAUUUCAUGAUGUGGGACCGCACUGAUGAACCUAAAAACGUCAACAACGUUUGAGUGUCAGUAAAAUAUUAAACACUGUCUUCUAAAGUGAUAUAACACAGACUCAGUAACACACAUUCAUCAAAUCAGGUGAAGGCACUACUGCAGUUUAAAAUUUAACCAACAAAGCCUGAAACAGAUCAGUACACAUCCUUCUUGUCCGUGCGUGGUUUCAUUACGCACUACGGCUGCUUAAUUUUCACAGACAGCGAUGAAAUAUUAACAUCUGCUAUACAGGCAUCUGAUUUUCCGCUCGAGGGGACACAAGAGAACAGAGGCUCCAAACCUCAAGAGCAACAAACCAGAUAGUAGGGGUUUGAAUGAUACACAGGAGGAGUCUGGGUAAAGUGAGGAUGCUGACCUCUGGGUAGCGAUUGGCCUUUAGGAGCUUUCAUCUCUUAGACAUAAGAAGAAGAAGAGGACAUUGGGCCAGGUGUGCGUUACGCCGAUAAGCUUCCACUCAAUGCCCGCUCUCCUCCCUCACCUCCAUCUGAUCCCAUCUUUAUCCUUGUCCUUUGUGUGCCUCCUCUCACUCCUCCCACUUUCUUUUUGAAGCCCAAAUAUAAGCCCGAAUAGGAUGGAGUGAUAUGAGUUGAAUAAACCCCAGGAAUGAUUUUUUUCAAUCUUUUUGAAACAUUUCUGCCUUCUCACCCUGACUGGCCUCCCCGCUAUCUCCCCAUUUCCUCUUUUUCUCCUCCAGCAAUUCGAUUGGGCUGCUUAAAAAAAGGUCUCUAUAAUAGAAUAUUUAAUCCACCAAGCAAAACAUUGUGAAAUUAGAAGCCUGGUCUCACAUAUGGAGAAAGCACAAUGAUCACGACUCUUUUUCACUCACCAUUUCUCCCACUCUCGUUUUACUUCUCGCCCUCUUGACUGGAUAUGCAAAGCCUUACCUCUAUUGAUUGCCGUGCAAUGGCAGCUUUUCACAAUCUGUAUUGUGGGCUGCAAAUUCAAUAUACUUGAGCUUCUACAAAUCCAACCUCUGAGUAGCUGGAACCCGUCAGCUGCUCAGAAACUAGCGGGGGUGUGUAUUUCUCGUCCAACAAUGAGCCAAGCUUUUGGGAAGUACUUCAUUUUUUUCUUCUUCCCAGAAGUUUGAUGUGACAUGAAAAUAAUGUACUUGAACUGAUAUUAGUCAUCCCUCAACUCUGUUUCUACCAGGUGGCUCUCUGGGGGAUGUGACACAGAGGAGGCCUGGUGAUUAUGAGGCAAAAUCUGCUACGACAUUAAAUAUCCCCUUUAUAAGGAGGUUUUCAAUUAGAAUAAAUCACAGCUGCCAAUAAACACUCAAAAUUUUGAAUCAGUUGCCCUGCUGUCUUUUCCAUCUUAAGGUCUGGUUCACAAAGAAUAAUUUAUUUAUAGUACUGCAGUGCAAACGUGCUCAUAAAGUCUUGCAGAUUUGUACAGUUCCUUCUCAUUUCGCUUCAGAUUGUGGAAACGAGAAAUCAGCUUCUUCACUCUUUGCUGCGCAGAGCUCCACUGUGCACUCUCAUCCUGACCAAGUGUAAGUCUUUUAAACUAUGUUGAAGCUAUUUCAAAUAUUUAGAUGUGGAAAUAUGCUAGAAAAAGCUUUUAUGAGAUCAAUUUCCCACCCGUAAAGACGGAAUAAUCUACAGCACAUAUAAAGACUGCUGACUAAAGUGCUUUAUAAAUAAAGAUGAGUUGAGUUGGGUCGAAAAUAAACUUCUUAAAAAUGAGCAUACUCUGAAGUUUACUGUGACUUUUCAAUGCUAACAAGUUUUCGGAAAAUAAACAACCCAAUCUUAUCCUUUCGAUGGCAAGGCAAAACCCCAAGAAUUACACAAAUGUUAUUGCAAAAGCAUAGAUCAGUAGGGGGACUGGCACUUCCUAACUUAAGAAAUUGUUACCAGGCCGCAAAUACUCACGAAACUAUUCUACGGGUGCAGGAAUCAACAUAAAGGUGGUGCUAGUUAUGUUGCGUUCGGGUUACCUUGGAAGUCAGAUGUCCAAGCUGGGAAUGAUGCCACAUGUGAGUUACCAGUACCAAGUUGGAAAAAAGCAAAAUCGAAGGCGGAAACAAGAUAGCUAUACCUACGAAAGUUAUUUUAGCGCUUGCUUGUCCUUGUUAUAUUAGGAAAAGGCAAGUGCUAAAAUGACUUUCAUAGAUGUAGUCAUCUUGUUUCCGCCUCCGAUUUUGCUUUUUUCCAACUUGGUAACUUCUUAAAAAUGAGCAUACUCCGAAGUUUACUGUACCUUUCCAAUGCUUACCAGUUUUUCAGAAAACAAACAACCUCAUCUCAUCCUUUCUAUGGCAAGGCAAAACCUCAAGAAUUACAAAAGUGUUAUUGCAAAAGCAUAGAUCAGUUGGGGGACUCGCACUUCCUAACUUAAGAAAUUGUUACCAGGCCGCUAAUGCUUACGAAACUUUUCUACGGGUGCAGGAACCAACAUAAAGCUAGUGCAAGCUAAACUGUGUUCGAGUUACCUUGGAAGUCAGAUGUCCAAGCUGGGAAUGAUGCCACAUGUGAGUUACCAGUACCAAGUUGGAAAAAAGCAAAAUCGAAGGCGGAAACAAGAUAGCUAUACCUACGAAAGUUAUUUUAGCGCUUGCUUGUCCUUGUUAUAUUCGGACAAGGCAAGUGCUAAAAUGACUUUCAUAGAUGUAGUCAUCUUGUUUCAGUCUCUAAUUUUGCUUUUUUUCCAACUUGUUAACUGUAACGCUGGUAACUCGGGUGUGACGUCAUUCCCAGCUCAGACAUCAGACUUCCGAGGUAUCUCGAAUGCACCAUUAGAAGGCAAACUCAAUUCCAAACUCUCUGAGAUAUAUCACACCACAUUUGAAAGCUUUCAGCGAUUUGAUGUUCUCAUAUUCGCAAAGGGUUUUGGCAAAGUUGGAUUCACCAUCUGGGAGUGUUGGGGUUAAUCCUCUGGGCACAAUUAGUGGCUGUCAAAACAGGGCUUUCAAUCACUGUGUAGCUAGGUUAACUUGAAUAGAAACAGUUCAACCUUUUGAGGCAGAACUCGAGAAAAUGUCAAAGACCGGUCAAAGAGCGUGGGGUUUAACUUCUGGGAAACAUGAACGCCAAUCAAAAUUUCAAUCAGUGUUCAUCCAACAGGAAAAGAUUAGCAAGGAUUGUUUCGAUAUUUCAUUUGGGAUGGAAGUAAUGGAGUAACAGACAUAUCAUUGCUAUCCCUGAAGCAACAUGAGUCAUGCUGCUGAAAUAUAAAAGAAUCCGUCAUUUGUUAACGGGUAGAAACAGUGUGUUAGCAAUGAUUUUUAGAUAAGGCUUCAGACUAGAUACUCAGACUACAGACGGGCAAAAUAUACACCAAUGCCAGGCAUUAAGUGCAGAUACAAGGUUAUGUAACAGUGAAUACCACAGUAACCUCUCCUGGAAACACUGUCAGCUGAGAAAAGAAGCACAUCUUGUGUGAGGAACACUGAUAAAAAAAUCAUGAAUUUCAAAUCUCAAUCCUCGCUCCUCAUUCAUAACUUAUCGGUCUGAAACAAAACAUUAAAAACUCCCCAAAACAAUUCGACAUUUUCAAACUGUUUGAGUCAGAGAGGGAUUUAGUGGGGGACAACCCUGAAGGCUUGGAGCAGGAAUCAGUUUUCAGGCCGUCUUAAGGUGUAAAAAACAGUGGUGUAUUUUUAGCUUAUAUUUCUGCGAGGCUCUUUUGUUCAUGGCUUUGCUUUGGGAAACCCCCGCGUGGGCACAAAGGACACACUCUUGUGUAAUUACAGGAACAUUCGCAAGCUAUAAUGCACCAACAACAAAAAAAUACAUCAUGAGAAAUGUGUGCACCAGUGUCCUCUAAAGGUUCUCUGUGCUUCUAGGAUUUCAGUGUCAGUGUGUGCCUUUUUGUAAAGGUGUCCUUUAUGUUCACUUAACCAUCUAAAUUUGAUUUUACAGCAAGUUGGUGGGCAGCUUGUCCAUGGGAUCCCUUGGUGAGCUGCAACCUUGAGCCCAGCUAAUCAUUCCCAUGCCAAAUUUCUGAUUAAGAUGCUAUUCUCCUGCUGUUCCAGGGAAUUUGGGGACUGCAACCUUGAAUCAGUCUCAUAACGCCCAUUGAAAAAGACGAAUAACGCGAGUUUGCAGAAAAGUUCCCAGUGGAUGAAACAGCAGGAGGUUGAGCUUAAGACAGGUUGAUAUAUUGGCGUUAAACUUUUACCCCCUUUAGAGACAAUGAUAGACCAGGUUUUAUUAAAGCCUUCAGUCAUGUGAGGAAGCCUGGGAUUUAACUUCUUCUAAUUAGUCGCAAGAAAGUCCAGCUGUGAUCUGCACUCUACCAUAAUAUGAAAAUUUGGACAGACUACCAAUUUGGCAAAAAAAACCUACAAGAUACAAGAACCUCUGUGGAUUUUUCUUUUCUUUAUGUAGUGUUAUCUCGUGAUAACGACUUAUUAUCCCAUUAUCUUGACAUGACAAAGCUUGUUUUCUCGUGAUGACAAAUUAAUUAAUGAUGUAUCCGCCAUUCUUACUGUUGUAUUCCGAUUCGCUUAUGGCAGUUAUAUGUUUCCACAUGUAGAAUCGGCCUAUUUUUAAAAUGUUUUGUGAAGUUUUAAAAUUUUGUUAAUUUAAGUAAUAUAUCUACAAAUUUACUUAUUUUUUUUUAAACUAAUGACUGCUUUUGAGCCUUUCAAACACUUCUUCAAAGACUUAAAGGCAGAAAACUCAUUUCAAAUACUUUUUAUUGCUAAAACAGCCCCUGGCUAUUUAUUUUAACUGUAAUAAAGAUGAUAAACUAAUUCUUUUCAGCUCAUUAUUCAGACUGUAGCAGGUGUGAGUCUGAUUAUUUUGUCGACCUAUGUCUUGUCAAACUCACACACUCGUCAUCCUCUAAAAUAAACAGACUAUAUAAAUAAAUAGAAAUAAAGCGAACUCACGUACAUCAUAAAAAAUGAGGAACACUCGAUAUGCUGUAGGCUACUGCUCUUUACGCCGACAGGAAGACCGACUGAUCAUCUCAGUAAUAUUCCAUGUAUUUAUCAUGAAUCAAACUCGGACCAGAAAAGCGUUUUCAACAACCCCCACCUCCCCCGCCGAUCGGUGCCUCUGCAUCUUAACUCACGUUACUCAUUUCCGGUCCGGUCUCAUCUGGAGACAUGCAGCUACCUCAGAAAGAGAAGUAGCUCGAUCACGUAAUGUGUACUGUUGUUUAUUCUACCGUUACUGGCACGGCUAACAGUGUAGCAAGGCUAAUAGCGGGUGGCUAACUCUAACUUUAAGCUUGCAUAUUACAUGGUGCUUCACCGUUAACUCGGCGUGACCGAGACCAGCACAGCGGGGAACAUCGUGAAGUGGGUUGAACUGAAACUUGUUGACUUAUUGUGUAUUUCACAAACUGGUUUAUUUACCGUUGAGGCGGACCACUCUCCUCCGUACGUCCCUGAGCUGCCUGCUUCAGAUCCGUCACUCUGCUGUGCUGUGAGGUAGUUAGUGGAUGAAGAUUGUCAUGAGGUCGCUGCGCCAUCUACAGGAUAAGUCGGGGAACUUUACAAAUGGUGGAACAUUUUCAAAGUGAAACCAAAUCUUAUUCUCCUCAUUUUAUUUCUAAAAAUAUCGGCAACAAUUGGCAACCGAUUAGUCGACCACCGAUUAGUCUCAAACGGGCUAACAUUGGCCGAUUUAAUCGUCUCGCCGAUAAAUCGGUCGGGCCCUAUUGAUAACCCUGGCUUGCUGUUGAUAAUGGCGACAGCAACGUUUCAGAAAUAUCCCACUCUGGAGGGCGUUUUUUAAAGUUACCGUUUUAAGGAGGCUAAACAACAUUUCUGUUAUCAUGAGAAAACAAUCUAUUUGUUAUGUUGAGAUAACAAGAUAAGUUGUAAUCAUGAGAUGACAGUGCAUAAAAAAAAAACAUGGCCUUUUUUUGUCUUUCGUAGAAAACCAAAGCAGACGCUCAACUUCCUUGCCCAUCCAGAGCUUCUUCUAUCCACAGCUAGAACUUCUACUGCUUACUGAAGAUAUGUACUUAAGUCAUGUUUCAUAUAGAAAUGUAAAAGCCUCUGCACCAACAGAGAAAACAAAGCCUCCACAAAAAGGGUUUUAUAAGUUGCUCACAUUUCCGACAAUCCAUUCAAGUUUGGCUCCAACUGUUAUAAAAGAUCUGCUUCUUAUCAAUAUGCACAUCGUCCGUCUGUUGUCCCUGCUGUGUGUACGCAGAGGGAGAAUUUUCAAUUGUUGACCUCGGUUAGAAUUUUACGGCGCUGAAUAGGUUAAGUGCUGCCGUGGUGGGGGUGACCUCCUAAUUACAAUGGAGGCCAUUUGGAUUUAUUCACUGGACAUGCAGGCACCAGAGAGAUUUAAUGAGGGCUUUGACAUUUGUCCCCUUCCCUAAUAAUUAUUCUGUUAGAGAAUCUUCGCCUUGGCUAUAGUCUUUUUCUAAUUGAAGUGUAUGCUCACCCGUCGGAGGGGUUUGUAGUCCAUGAUGUAUCCGACCUUAUGGGCAAUAACUUGAAAGAAAAGCUAAAGACGUGGCGGACAGGUCAACGUGAAGAAUGAAUUUAGUCGGCACAGGAGAUGCUCUGCAGGCCCUUUCUGUAGAUUUUGGAUGUUUAGGUCUUGGAUCAUAUACACAAAAGUCACAAAUAUUUUAAGAUAAAACAUUAACACUGAAGUAUUUCACUACUCUGUGAAAAAGUGUGAAUCUUUAUACAGCCUGGCUGCUUGUUUGUUUUAAUGAUUAAAUCUUACAGGUCACUCAACAUCGACUGCAAGCAACUUUCAAAAAACUGAUACCAAAUAAAAAAUUGCAAAUGAGUCUUGAGUAGCUACGCCAUGUGUGAAUAAUUUAAAAAGUUCCAAUCCUGCGGUUAUUUACCAUGUUUUAGUGAAUGUGAUGUCAAGUUGGUACUAUUGAUUCCUCAGACACCUCGAGUUGUAGCUCCAACUUCAGGAGAGCCCGGCAGAUGGAAGCUCAUUUGACCAAUUAUACCGACACCAUUUGAAUGAGUGGGCUCAGGGUGUGAAGUUGUGGCUAUUUUCUGCAAUUAGCGCACAAACCAGUGCAGAGCCAGAGCUUGCAAAAGUCAGAAAAGCAUCAGAAGAUGGGUCAUUUAUUAAUUCAUUCAGCUCAUCGAAAGGUAUCUUACACCAAGUUAAUUUCGCCCCUUGCAAACUCUCCAGAUGUUCCAGACAGAUUUGGAUGAAAGCUGGCAGAUAAAAAAAAUCUAACAGAUGCAGACGGAUCCAUCUGUCUGUUACUCUUGAUUCAAAGCAGACAAAUUUGAGGCGCAUCUCCGAGUGAACGUGAUGAUAUCAAGGACAAACAGGGCGACGAACAAACCUUUCAAAAACAUUCAAAAAGGAUUCAAGAUGGAGACGAACAGUUUAAAUAAACACAAAUCACUUCCAAGCUGUCCAAAAGAAGUCAUCUCUACACCACGCACGACAUCCUGCUCCAGUGUGUGACAGAACAGGCUGUCAGUGUAAUCUUAAAUGUUCCUGCAUCACCGUCCCUGAGACAGACCUUGGCCCAUUUAUUCCUCCCUGACAAACAAAGUUACACCGAAUCUGAAAGGAGAGACAAACAACCACGUGUCCCGGCUAACAGCAAUUGACUCGUUUACCUCUUCAAGCGAGAAGGGAAACGUGACAGAGCUUGAAUGACGGGACAGCACAUACAUCACACAAUGCUGCGCGAGACACACGUAGCGCCACUUGCUUGUUAACCUUUGGACAGGCAUCUGUAUAUAUAUGUGUUUGUCUGCCUUUCGCGCGGUGACGGAUGAAGUUGAGAAUGACAGAGUGUGCCUGCUCUCCGUGUGAUCACUCAAAGUACGCGCAUUUACAACCUCCUACACACAGUUGCAGGCUUACACAGAGAUCUCCUCACCCCUUAGUGAUUAUGCAGACAUGUUUUGUUAUGCUUAUAGGUGAUUUUUGAUGUUUGCAGCUCUCAUAAAACAACAGAUCAAUAGUAGGAAACACUUUCCUCCCUCCCCAUCUGUCUUUGAGUGCCUUUGACGACGACUUUUAACACAAGCAGCUUGUGCAUAGACUCCGGCACAUAUACAGAGCUCUAUGUGAGUGCGCAUGUGGGUAAGAGAGAUGAUGUUGAAUUUAUUCAUGAGGAGCACUUUGCAGAACAUCACAAAGUGUUCAACAGGGAAGCCAAGGACACCAUAGGCGAAACUAACAAGGAGGAGACACAUAUCAAAAAGCCGAAGCCGGAGCGUGUCUGUUAUCACUUUGGUGGCGACAAGUAUUAGGAAAGUGAAGUUGGUGUCUUUAUUGUGAGAGUCCUAUUUAAAAAAUGCCCCUUUUCACCUAGUUAAUACACACAAACAACACAAGAGGAAUCAGCAGAGAGACUGAAAUUAAAUAGAAGCAGCAGCACUUGCUCUAAUGUUGCCUGGCAACCAAGGUGAUAUACUAAAUCAAUGCAUUCUCUGAAUAUUCGCUUUAAAGAGUCGUGUCGAGCGUCGACGUCGGUAAAUGUCUGACAGGAACGACUGUUUUGAAUUUUUGUAUAUUUGUGGAGUAAACAGUCUUGUGGGUGUCAGACUCAGGCCCGACUGUUUGGGUAAAUCCAGGCAAGAAAAGUGAAUGAGUAAUGCACUCUUAACAAAGUCUGUGUGGGCGCCCUUUAACACCACAAUUAACCCUUGACAACUCUGAGGGAGCAGCGAAUGAAUGGCUGGAAGCGUGAAACCGUGCUCGCAUUUUGCAGGAUUCAGGUGUGACUGUGUGGAGAUUUAUAGUCUGGAAUAGGAAAAGAAGAGCAUACAUUUUUAACAUCACUGAGACUAAAUCCAUUUUUACAGUCUGUAGUCAGUCUCCAUUAAACUCUAGUAUUAAAAGGCCCAACUUAACAGUAGCCAUGAUCAUUUUUAAAGCAUUUUACCCAGCCUGUUAUUCAUUGUCUGUUCAAGGUGGGAGUGUCAAGCUAGGAGAAGUGGAGCCCUCUGUUUAUUAUGACUCCUCUGUCUGUCUGUCUGUGUGCAUACAUAAAGUGUAGCUCUUGCUCUCCUACUUCCCGGUUCUAUGAUUACUUAUGAUUACUCACACCUGCCCUCCAUCAGGUUCAUCACUCUACCCAUCUCAGCUCAAUGCUGCACACACUGCAGAUCACCACCUGCCAGCCUACAUGUUUGUCUGCUAGUCAAAACUCACCACCUGCUACCUCCGACAAAGCAGCCAGUCUUGCUCAUUCUGCCAAUCUGCCCAGUCCUGUCCAGUCAAUCCUCUCCAUACCCUGUCCUUGACAGAGACUGGUAACAUUCCCUCUCGUCAUGUUUUUAAUAAAAUAUUUCAAUGGUUUAAUUUUAUUCAAAUUAUGAAUAACAUUUUUAUAUUGUAGCAGUUAAAUAAAAUUUAAUAUAAUAGCAAGGAGCCAAUGCGUUAAAGGAUUGCAACCUACUUCGUCAUGAAAUGUUAAACUCCUGUUCAUGAGUUUUGUUGCUUUGUUGUGAGGUUUAGGGCCAAGAAUUCAAGGACUCUGCUUCAAAUGGAUAAAUUUUCAGGGUGGAAGCAACACUAUGAUAUGAUAAGAUACGAUAUAUCAUAUGAUACAAAUGAUAUGAUACAAAGCCAUGGUAUGCAAUAUGAUACGAUGCAAUCCAAUAUAAUACAACAUAAAGUAAUAUAUGAUAUGUUACGAUAUGAUAGGAAAUUAUAUGAAAUGCUACGAUAUGAUAUGAUAUGAUAUGAUAUGAUAUAUGAUAUGAUAGGUUACGGAAUGAUAUAAUACAAAGCCAUGGUAUGCAAUAUGAUACCAUGAAAUCCAAUAUAAUACAAUAUAAAAUUAUAUAUGAUACCUUACGUUGCGAAAUGAUAUUAAAUGAUAUUAUAUGUUACGAUAUGAUAUAAAAUGAUAUGAUAUGAUAUGAUACAUUAUGGUACGUUAUGAUACAAUCUGGUAUGAUACAUUACAAUAUGAUAUGAAAUUAUAUGAUAUAAUACGUUACGUUAUGACACAAUAUGAUAUGUUAUGAUACAAUCUGGUAUGAUAUGUUAUGAUAUGAUAUGAAAUGAUAUAUGAUAUGUUACGUUUUGAUAUAAUAUGAAAUGAUAUGUCAUGAUACGUUAUGAUACAAAACAAUAUGAUACGAUACAAAUGAUAUGAUAAAAUACAAUAUGACAUGAUACGAUAUGAUACACUGUGAUGUAGAGGUGUGUAUUCGUAAGGAUUUAACGAUAUGAUAUAUAUCACGAUACAUGUAUCACGAUACGAUUUGAUACAAUACAAUAGGGGUGUGUAUGGCAAGAACCUCCCGAUACAAUACUGUCGUGACCCUGGGUUGCCUGAGUGUGGUGCCGCCAUCCUUAGGGUGUUUCUCUCUUCAAGUGCUGGCUGCUGAUUGGUGAAUGGUGAUUGGUGGAGCUGCUCAAACUGUUCUUCAAUACUUUGUUAUACGUUUUACAAUUGAGCCUGUCAAUACAGUCAUAACGGUGGGUACUUUAAUUGUUAAUCCUUUUUCUCCUGCUAGUUUUAUCAGGUAAAUCAGUUGAGAGACCUGUGUUUUAUGAUAUUUUCUUUUGAAUAGGUAAGUUAGCUUUGGGACAUGGACUGUUUUGUUUGUUGUUUUAGGCCACGCUCACUCUGAACUUUAUUGCUAUCUUUAUCUUUGAGUGUUAAAUAAAUCAUCUUUUGUUGGACUGCAGUGGUGUGGCAUUGGUCGUCCUUGGGAGUGGGUAAAGAGGGGGAGCAUCUUUCUGUGUUAUGUACUGGUUCCUCAAGGCUGGUCGUAACAAUAUGUAUCACAAAAGAGUAAUAUUGCAAUAUAUCACAGUACAGAAGGAUAUGAUUUUAUACAAUAUAAAACAAUUAAAAUGCUAUGACACCAUACCAUUCAAAAGUAUAUAAUGGGAUACAAAAGUAAAUGAUAUGAUACAAUGACUCAGGGGUCUUCAAUGACAAUUAUAUCACAAUACAGUGACACUGUGAUAAUCUAUAUAUUGCAAGAUCUAUAUUUUGUAUGCAAACCUAAUCACAUUUUUUGCUGAGACUCUAAACUUGCAACAGCUACAGUCCUGUACGUCAAAAUGCAAAGACUACAAAUGGGCAGUUUGUUUAGUUUAGCUUUCAUUUCUAAGGGAAAUUUCUGCCAUGUGAGCACAAAUCAAAGCAAUACACUCACAUCUUAAUAAAGGAGAUACUGUAUCCUCUCAACAGUUGUCUGACCAGAGACCGCUUCUCUACACUUCAAAACCCUUUUGGAGUAUGUUAGCGAAGCACAGGUGGGUGCAUCUGCUGAAUGGUAAUGCAAAACUUCUGCAUCAAAUACUACUGUACAUGCAGCACCAAUGGGGUUCUGAGUCAGAGGCAACAAAUCAAUAAAAUCAAUGGAGAGUCAGAAUGAGUACAACCAGACAUAUAUAUAGGCGCAUGCAGAGCGUGUGGGUGUGGAAUUUAGCCGCUGGCAAACAUCAAAACAUAUCCCCCAUGGUCUGUUUUCUGUACUUUCUGUGAUUUUUCAUACAGUUCUUCAGAGUACCACCAGGUGCCACUAUUAACUCACAGCAGCCCUUCCCCCAGCCUGACAUGUGCCUCCCCCUCUUGCCUCAGUCUUCUCCUCUGCACUCCCUCCAUGCAUUCCUUUCUCACUCUGUCUUCCUCUUUCCUCUCUCCUUCUCUGCUUCCUUGCCCUAAAACAAAGUAAUUGCCUGCAGCACAGUUCAGAGUCUCUUACUCUGUCUGGCGCAGAUCAGGCUCCAGCCACUCAAUCAUUAUUUCUACCACAACAAUGAAUACCUCACGUGGUUCACGGAGUCAGUGAGACCUGCUGAAGGCAUUAACAUCUUUGUGUUUAUGCACGGCCAUGGUGUGUCGCCUUAGUUAACGAAAGCCUGCAUCAGUGUCUGUCUCAUGGCUAAUUGUAAUCUACUAUAGCAAGCUCUGGAUCAUAGAUAUGCACGACAGUAUGUGUAUGUGUCAGACACAAGGCUGGUGACAGACAUUAAUCUCCAAGCAUUCAUCUGUCACUUAGACAUCUAUAAUUCAAAAGACGUCAGUCAGAGGUUUUGACAGGGUCUACUUGCAAAGAGAAUUUUUAUUGACAUUGAUUUCUCUCUUGAUCUUUUCUCCGUGUAAUUGCGCAUGCAUUAGUCGAUGCAGUCCAUGCAUUCGUUUUAUACACAUAAACAGCAUCUUUAAAUACACUGUACAUGUAAAGUCACAUGUUUGAGUGCAGAGGGUCUGCAGUGAGCACAAGACCUCUGUAAGAGAGAAGUCUACGCUUCUGAUUUUCUAAUAACUGCAGGUCUGACCAAAGUGCUAUAAGAAUGUUAUUGCUCUGCAAUAUGAUACCCGCAUCACUUUCUGCUGACGGAGGGAAAGCACGAGCGGAAAAAAAGAGACAGAAAAAUGAAAGCAAGGGGGAGCAACAAAGUUAGAAGUCAGUUAAGUCAUUUAUUUGACCAAUUCCACAGAAAGGUAGCCACUGUCUAUUCCAAGGGAACGCUUAGCCGAGGAGGCCGGGUUAGAAACCCCUCUGAGUGUCCGUACGAGGGAACAGUGCUGCUAUCGGAGAUUGUGAAGUCUGUGUUUUCUGUUUCUUGUUGGCUUAAGGGUAGGGAGGAUGCCAAAGAUUUUCACAUUUUGAUACUUUACGCCUAUCACUUCAUCCACUUUCUGUGCGGCUGCAUUUAAAGAAAGUGCCUGUUUAUUCGAGAAGGGCUUUUAUAAGGCACUUGACAACAGUAAGUGUAUUACUCACAGGGGAUCAUCUUGAGCUACAGGCCUUAAAACGCUGCUAAAAAAGGUCAACCCUACCAUGUUAUUUAGCUUUGGUUAAAGAAAAGCACUCUUUAACUUUCCCAAAAGUUAUAGAACACCUAAUUUUAUUGAACAUUAUUAACAAAUUAUGCAUUAUGGAGGCAUUUUUUAUCUGUUCUUUCAUUACAUUGAGAUCUUAUAACACUUUGAACUAUAUACAGUGAUGACAUAAUGUCCUUUUGGAACAAAUUUUUUGCAAUCUAAUCCUUUCCUGGUUUGGAGAGUGUAUUUGACACACUCAGUUGCAGAUGUUCAUUGUGGUGCACCACCUGAAUGAGCAAAAAUACUGUUGAUUAAAGGUUAAAAAAGGAAAGAAAAAGAGGACCUAGUGUUGAGCCUUGAGGUACCCCUUUAUGUUUAAGAAGUCUGACAUUGGAUAUCGUGCCUGUAGUUGUAUUAAUAUAAUGUGUAUUGACAAGUCCAGGUUAUCAGUGAGGGCAUGUUUAAUCACAAAUGCAAAACAAAAUGCACAACAAAUAGAUUUAAGGUGAAAAAAGGAAAAAGAUAGAGGACCUGGUGUUGAGCCUUGGGGUACACCUUUUUGUUUAAGUCGUGUUUCCAAUAAAUAUUCUAAAAAUGAUGUACAAUAAUCCGUCAUGGAUGUUAAAUUUGGAAGAAAAUAUGAAUCAAAAUACAAAAAUGGUACAAAGGAGGUCACUAUCAACAUUUUAAGUCUUACCUGGACAGCUAUAUUCAAUUCUAGGUCCUUGAAUUUGGCAUGUGAAGUUGUGAAAACUUGCUUUUUUCAUUUCUCUGUACUUUUCCCUGACCCUUACCCUAACUCCAACCCUGGAAAUGUGGCCCGUAAUACUUGUAGGGUCAAAUAUUAGUCUUUUCUUGACUUUUGGGGUCCUAAUUAAUGAUUCCAAGACACAUUUAUUAUUUAGUUUUGUCCACAUUAAUCAAAACCUUCCUAAUGACUUGACCUGCAUUCAUGAUUUGUUUCCUAAUAUGGGUCCAAUAAUCAAAAUAUAAACCCAAAUAUAAAGCAUAAUUGUUACUGCUGUCACUCCUACAAAAACAACCACCGAGGUACUCAGACUUUCUUUCUGCUUCUUCCUGUUUACUGGCGUGGGAAACCAAGCUGGGGGUUGACAUGUAGGUGUCACAAGUGGGCAAACCAAUUAACUGGGAUAAGUUGAAAUUAAGCUCUUUUUUUACUUGGAGGUUUAUCCUUCCUACUCUUAUUGGAAAUCACCAAAUAUAGCAGCUUAAAUUGGCAGGAAAUGGAGUUUAUUGCAGAGAUCAUACAGUCGAAUGGUUCAUCAGACGCAGACUAGUGCUCCCAAAACAUUCAAUAUUAUAGGUUUGCCUUUGCAAGUCAUACUCUCGUAAUCACAACCAGUCAAACUUAAAAAAUGGGUAUUGCUGUAUACCAUACAUCUAUUUCUCUGCACCUGCUGUGGUUGAAUAUAUCCAAUCAGUCUGAAAAGCAGUCAAGACGAAUAAACAAAGCACACAAAAUCAAACCCAGGACCAGCUCAUUGAUCCCUCACCUCACUGGCCCAAGGGUGUUGGUAAAUGAGCCAAAACUUCUUCCAUUAUAAACUCCGUCUGCGUCAACAUAGAGGACAAAUGCAGCUCAAAAAUGAAUCAAUGAUUUAUAGGCAACAGGCGAUUGCUGAGACAGGAAAGGAUAUAGACUCUUGCAACUAUAAAGCAGUAUUGACUCUACUGUUGGUCUGAUUAAAACAGGAAAUGAUCGCCUCUGGGGAUAUGACAUGCAAAGUGGAAGUUUUACCAAGUUGCUGUUAUCAGGGGUCAGUCUUAACACCUUCCUCUGCUGCUGGUGGCGCCCAUCAGCCCCCUUCAGCUUCUCCAACAACACACUGACCUCACUUUAUAUGCUGAUAGUCACACUCGCAGCAAAAAGAGUUAUUUCACAACUCGGUUCAAAUGUCCUCAACUUCCCUUCCAAGGCUGUUGUCCCGGUUUCUUUGGGAAGUCUGAAACUUUGUGAUGGAUAACUGGCUAAAGUUAGUCAGCCACUUUGGCAGGGUACAAUGCUUGGAGAAUAUCCGGAGGGAGUUUAUAAAAGACAUAAAGACAACUUCAGCAGCUUUGCAGACACUAAUAAUUGCUCAUUGCCACUAAAAACUUACUAAGGGCCUGAUCUACCAAAGAUUUGUGUAUGCAAACUUAAUAGCGCGCAUAAAGCUGAUCUACUAAACUGGUGCAUCGAGGAUUGCGUCUGUCAAAUGAGCAAAACAGCGCGCGCAAUCCAUUUAGCAUGUUUGCCUUAAUAAAUAUGUAGAUUGUAUGUCGAUCAUCAGACCGCCAAUAAUUGGGCAGAUGCAAAUAGUAUUAUUUCGCACCCACAAUGUGAUUUAUCAAACCCUGAAACCAAUUGCGGUCACUGUUUUGCGUCUAUAUUUAGAACGUUUGAAAGGCAUGUGCAAAUUGGAAAGGCGCUACACACAAAUAGCGGCAGUCAUUGCGGGGAGAAGGAUGCAAAAGUGCAACUGUGUUUCGAUAAAUAGGUCAAACACGGAAUAGUUGCAAAAUUUUAUCUAUUUGUCUUAUUACCUCUGCCAAGGAGGUUAUGUUUUAUGUAGCGUUGGUUUGUUUGUUUGUUUGUUUGUCUGUUAGCAACUUUAUGGAGAAAGUAACAGACAGAUUGACCUGAAAUGUUCACCAGAGGUGUGUCUCAGCCCCAGGAGGAUCCAAUUACAUUUUGGUGAUAAUCCGGACAAAAUUCUGGAUACUGUGAUCCAGAACACACACAAAAAAGGGUGUCGUUGGAAUUUUUAAUGCUGAAAGAUAACCAAUGGACGGCACAGUGGUGUAGAUAGGCGGCACAGUGGUGUAGUGGUUAGCACUGUCGCCUCACAACCAGAAGGUCCUGAGUUUGAAUCCCUGUCAGGGCAUUUCUUGUUUAAGGGGGGACAUGAGCUGCUUGGCAGAGGUCUGCGCUCUCCGCGUGCUUUUCUAGUUGAUUUUAAAUUGCUUGAAUCUCUUUUUUUUUCAUUUCAAAUGUAUUUUCUUGCAUCCGUAAAAGACUUUGAAUCGCCUUGUGUGUAAAAGGUGCUAUACAAAUUAACUUCCCUUGCCUUUUAUGCAGUUGCUUGCUUCCCCAAAACGAUUGGUGCAACUCUACGGUUUCAAAAUUAAUUUUUCACCGACAAUUACUCUGCUCUUACAAACUCUCCAUGGUGAUGGCCAAUAGCGCACAUGAAAUCCUCGUUUAAAGAGGGCGAUCUGCACCACAUUUGCACCUGUUAUCAAUCGCACACGCAAUGAUAGUAGAUCACCCGCAACACGCCCACUCAUAGCACAUGCAAUUUCGCGCUCGCUAUUUGAUCAGGCCCUUAGUGUGCAGGGGCUGAUGAGGAAGUACUUCUGCAGUAGAUCAGCUGUUUCAUUCUUGAGAUAAAUGUAGCCAUCUCCCCCUGAACCUGACACUGUUAUCUGGAGAAGCCUUGACUAAAUCUGCCGUUCUAUCAGACAGCAUGAGAGUGAUGAGCCCGUUUGAUAGCCGGCAAAGAGGGGAAGUUUAUCCUGCACCAGAAGCCGUGGAAUCAAACGUGCCAUAAACCCGAGCAUAUGGCAGCUUUCUGCGGAUAUACUUUACAUACCCACUGACAACAGCAGAAAUACCCCAUUCGUAUCCCUUUUUAUGGGAGCUGCUGUGAUUUAGCCACAAAAUCAGAGAAGAAAAGAGUGAGGAAGCAAGUGAUGUCUCGGGGAUGACAGGAGCAGACAAAGAGUUGUUUUCAGACGUCGCCGCUGUCUGAAGGAGAAUAGCAGAAGAGAUGCCUAAUUAACACAGAAAGCACUAUCAUCCCAAGAGUGAGCGGCUCUGAUCCAGCAGCAUUAUCACCCUACCAUGACAUUGCCAAUCCAACCUGAAACCAGCUUUGCGGAGCUGAUACGCCUCUUUUCCUGAAUCAUCUGAUGUCAUAACUUAGUGCUCAGUCACUCUGAAUGCACAACAUCGCCUGCAAAGCUCCAGCCGUCACCAUCAGAUUUAUUUCCACUGAGUGCUUUUUAUCGCCAGGGCCCGCUCUUCACAGAUGUACCAUCAUUAUCUCAACACUACAUUAAAGUGAUUUAACAUAAUCUUAUAAAAUGUCAGCAUUUUUUAAUAUGUGCCUUAAAAAACUCAGAGGGGCACCUUUCCAUACGGACGGAAAUGCAUCAAGUAGUAAGUUUUCGGUCAUCUUAAAAGGCAUGAAUCGCAGUCUUGUGUGUCUUAACGUAGAAUCACUCACCAUUAUGAAGACUCCCCUUCAGGUUUGCAUCAGCUGGUAUUCACAGGGCUGGUUACCAUGGCAGUUGCCUGAUGGAUAGAGAUGUCAGACUGUCAACUUUGCUCAACAACAGAAGAACAUCUCCAUUAAUUUUAAAAGGUUGAGAAGAAAACAGUACUUAAAGGGACAUAUCACUGUUUUUAAAGCAAGGUUUUAUAAGAUGCAGAAUCACUGUGGGUCUGUUCUUUCCCAGUUGGAAGGUCAGGGGUUUUGCUGCGUUCGAGUAACCUCGAAAGUCAGAAGUCCGAGCUGGGAAUGACGUCACGCCCAGUUACCAGCGUAAGUCGGAAGAAAGCAAAAUCGGAGGUGGAAACAAGAUGGCUACAUCUAUGGAAGUUAUUUUAGCACUUGCCUUGUCUUUGCUUAUAUUCGGACAAGGCAAGCGCUAAAAUAACUUUCGUAGAUGUAUCGGAGGCGAAAACAAGAUGGCUACAUCUAUAAAAGUUAUUUUAGCGCUUGCCUUGUCCUUGCUUAUAUUCGGAUCUUAUCUUGUUUUCGCCUCCGAUACAUCUACGAAAGUUAUUUUAGUGCUUGCCUUGUCUGAAUAUCAGCAAGGACAAGGCAAGCGCUAAAAUAACUUUCAUAAAUGUAGACAUCUUGUUUCCGCCUCCGAUUAUGCUUUUUUCUGACUUGAUAACUGAAACGCUGUUAACUCAGGUUUGAUGUCAUUCCCAGCUCGAACAUCUGACUUCUACGGUAACUCGAACACAGCAUUUGAUCCCAGGUCCCGAUGUCUACAUGUCUCCAAAUGUGAAGAUGAAACAGUGCUAUUUGGGAAACUCUUCUUUUGCGUAUGUCUUUAUGUACUUCCAGGUGUUUACGCUUAGACUUAAAGGAGCAAUACGUCAAAUUUUUCAACCAUACAAAAAUGGUGGUGCAUGGUUGAUACAUGGUUGAUACAAAGGGCUUAUUCAUGAAAAUAAAAACAAGUGAUGGUGUAAAAAAACAUUUAAGACUAAUGUUUUUAAUUUCCAUUUCUGCACAUAACUCUGCAAAUAAAAGGCCUGCACCUCGGCUCUGAACCUUCACACUAUUAUCUCCUUUUUCCUUUUUUUCCCCUGUGUCUCAGCUGUUAAAAAGCCUUUUUUAUCCCUCUUUUAGAUCAGUAUAACAAACCCUCUCCUUUCUCCUAUAAUUUUAGUAAAUGCUGAAUGACAUUUCGCAAAUUGGUGUAACCUUUUUUGCAUGAAAUUGCAUAGGUCUCAAUGUUCCCCCUGCUCCUUUUCUUCCUUCUUCUACCGAGCGCUCUAUAACUUGUCAAAAAAAAAAAAAAAAGGAGUGGGAGUAAACUGGCCUUGAAAUUUUUCAGCAGAAGGUAAGUGCAGGAUUAAGAUCAUGUUAUGGCAUUUGGUUGUGUAAUUGGCCCUUAAAAGAAACAGGCUACAGAGUCGAAAUGUUCGGUGUUUGCGUAUAAGCCAGCAGCCUCAGCGGAGAGCCAGCAGCUGGUCAACACCAAGGCGCGAACAUUGUUUUGUCCCGCUCUCUGCUCUCCUAUUUCUGGGCAUCGCCGUCACCUUGGACAACACGCUGGCCAAAAAUAUGAGUCUUUCCCCCCCCUGUUCUUCUGUGAUUUGCCCUACAGUGAAAACUCAUUAGCAUUUUCCCUCUGCAAUAGCUGGCCUGCAGUGUACCCAUCUGUUGACUAAAUUUGUGCAGCCAGGUGUGCGUGUACGUUGUUGUUUGCUCCUUUUAUUUGGAAUCAAAUAGUGUUAUUAAUGCUAAUUUGCACUGUGAUGUUUUCCACAGUGAGAGCUUGUAACCCCCCCCUCCUUCCUAUCACACACGCACAUACUGGGUGAUCACAGCGGCGGUGCAUCUUGAGCUUCGCUUUCAUGUCAAGCUUUCGUUUUCUCAGAAGUAGGUGUCAGUCUCUCAUUUUGGUUGGCAACACUUUACGGCCACUUGCCUAUAAACUUCACAGCAUAUGGUCCCAUGGUGGAGUCCGGACAUGGCUCAGGUGCGGCUGGUUUUAUGGACCCCUUGUCUAUAAACCUCAAGAGCUAAUACCACAGCUGCAGAGUGCGAAGAAGAAGCUGAUAUUUAAGGAAUUAAAAAUCAAUGAUGAUGCUGCAGAAACUACAUUUUAUUGCCUUUAAGGUCACAUUGAGUCAAUUGAGAUUAAUUCCAGCAUCAGAUAACCACAAAGCCUUAAAAGCGUUUUCCAGUUUAAUUGAUUCAAUCAAACAAUACCCUAUUCAAACCAAGGAUUAGCCUCAUAUUAGCUCUAUUGUAUUACAGCGUUGACUGCUGACAUCACAGGAGCAGCCCAUUAGAGAUGAAUGGGACGAAUUCAUACCUAGCCAAUUACUGCUUUCCAAUAAUGUAAACCCACAGAGACCAUCCUCUUCCACCCACUCCUCUUCCUCCUGAAGAGAAUUGGGACUGUGUACAAGAACGAUGACUGGAAAUCAAUGCAGUGUUUGUUCUUAAUAGCACUUUCCACCUGCUUGUGUGGUGUUCUUUCUUCUCCUUGUAAAAGAAAGCAGCAGGUUGAAGCAUUUGUACCUGGUCUUUAUGAGAAGGACAGUGAAGUCUUACAUUAUGUACUAGUAGGACAAAGAGGAAUGAGUCUGAGUGCAGAGGGAACGAUUUUUUUUCAAAUAUGGUUUAUUCAUAAAAUCUUUACAAAAACUAAAGCAGUAAUCUUGACAAUACUGUUAUCCCUCUGAACUCUAUUGAGUCCCAGACUAUUUGUUCUACACUCCACUUCUCGCUAUUUUAAGAUUCAAUUCAUCAUCAGAAAGAAAAUUAAAGACCUUUUAGUUUAAACCAAGUUUUAGUAAUCGAAAAGUUAACAUGUUUGUCUAGUUUUUGUCAUUUAAAGGUCAAGACAUGAAAGUCUAUUUUAAGUUGACAAAAUAAAUGAAAAAAUAAAUAAAAUAGAAAAAAAAAAACUCAUCCUGGUCUAGUUUUGGCCUAUGAAAAAGUCAGAACAUUACAGUGUAGUGUCAGUAAGACAAAAAGUCAGAACUUUUUAGUCUGUUUGAGUCGACCAAAUUUAGAAGAUUUUAGUCAAGUUUAAAACCCUAAAAAUCUGAAUAUUUGAAUCCAGUUUUGGUUGGCAAAAAGUCACAACUUUUUAGCCUGAUGUCAGGGGACAAAGAGUACAAAUAUUUUGGUCUUCCUGAAGUCGACAAAAGGUAACAACUUUUCAGUCUUGUUUUAUACAAGAAAAAGUCCUAACUUUUUAGUCUGUUUGAGUUAACAAAAAUUUUUAAAACCCUAAAAAUCAGAACAUUUUGAUCUAGUUUUAGUCAACAAAAGUCACAACUUUUAACCUGAUUUCCGGGCACAAAAAGUACAAAUAUUUGAGUCUUCUCGAAUGUUUUAGUCUUUUUGGGUUAACAAAAAGUCCGAACUUUUUAGUCCAGUUUUAUACAACAAAAUGUCAAAACUUUUUAGUUUGGUUUGAGUCAACCAAAUUUAGAAGAUUUUGUUUUAAUCCUUAAAGUUUUAACCCUAAAGUACCAGAAUAUUUUAAACUAGUUAAAGUUGACAAAAAGUCACAACUUCUUAGCCUGAUUUCAGAGAACAAAAGUACAAAUAUUUUGGUCUUUCUAAAGUCGACAAAAAGUAAGAACUUUUGAGUAUAUCUGUGGAUGACAGAAAGUCUGAACGUUUUAAUCAGUUUGAAUCAACAAAAAGUUAAAAGAUUUUAGUCAGGUUUUAAACCCUUAAAAAUAAAAACAUUUCGAUCUAGGUUUAGUCAAUAAAAUGUCACAAUUUUUUUGUUUGGUUUAAGUCAAACAAAAGUCAGAACAUUUUAGUACUGAUGUGUAAAACAAAAUGUUGAAACUUUUUUGUGUAGAUUCAGGGGACAAAACGUCUGAACAUUUUUGUCUCGUUUUGAAAGAAAUAAAGACCCAGUAGACAUAAAGUCAUAACAUGUAUUUGAUUAUUUUUUCAGUCAAUAAUUUUUUUACAUUUUAGCACUUGUAGUUUCACGAUGCGAAAUUGUCCAGUCAAAUUACAAUUUAUCUGGUUUCGCGGCUGCCAGCUGUUUUUCUCUCCCACAAUACUGGAAAAUAGUGCUCUCCUUGUCAGUGAAGCGCACAAAAACACAUGGGAAAAUAGGGCCCAGGUUGAACAGUAUCAAAGUUCCCCUUUAAGACUGUGCCCCAGUUGGGCCACCCCAGUAUAAAACUCUAGCACUGUUAUUUGAUGGCACAUCAUUACAUUCUUAGAGUCGCAUGGAUACCACACUGACAAGCAUCCACACCCCUCUAUCAGCCGAACAAACACGCCACCCCCUUUUACAGUCAUCCCAGUCAUCAUUGCAUCACUCAAGUAAGUAACCCCACUAACACAGAGACUGCAGCCACUUUACAACUAGACACAUUCACACAUGCAAUUACAAGUGCACACUCCCACCAGAGAGUACACUCACGUAGAUAUUUAGACACACACACACUCACAUGCGGCCGUCACCCCCCCCUCCUGCUCGUCCCUAUUCCCUGGGCUGUCCAGACAAGCCCAGGUUGGUCUUGAGGAGAGUGGAGGCAGGCUGAACCUGUCCGCUCUGCUUACAGUCAUCGCCUGGCAGCAAACCUACAGGGUCAAACACAACUUCACUUCCUCCCAGAUGUCUCAGCAGGGAUGGAUUGAUCCCGCCUGGCACCAUGGGGCAAGUGGAAUGGAGAAGAGGAAACCGCAGUCCUCUGCAGAUCUGUCGAUGGAUUGAGGUCAGAAACGGACUCUGACACAGAGACAUAUGUGUUGCGAUUUGAGGUAUGUACAUCAAGAGCACUUAAAUGCUCUUUAUAUCUGGUGUAAGGGAUAUACAAGGCAUGAAUGUGCUACUAGAAGCUACAAAAAUGAAUUCAACAUCCAUUUAUUCUACUCUCUAAUAUUGCGUGGGAUAUGGUAUGCCACCUCAAAUGCUCUACAACAAAGCUGCUGACCAUUUCUAGUGAAUAAAAGUAUGGUCCUGAAUUCCAAAACACUAAAAAAGCAGAUAUUCGCCGUUGUUGUAAGAAUGUCAUUUUGGCAUUUGUCACUUAAGAACAAGAAAUCUUGUCCAAUAUAUUUCGCUUUUGGCAUUAAGUUUGCAAAAUUCCUCCCUCAUGCCUGUGAUUAGCCCUGGCAGCAGCCGCGGCAAUCUAGUGCUGAAUGUUUCAUAAAAGCGCUUUAUAAGGAGAUCAGUCAACUGCGGCUGGCAGUUGUUGGUUUGUGUUAAUACUAAAAAACUAGAGGAACUGGAAACGCUAUCCAGGGAAAAAGAAAUAAAAAAUAUAGAAGAUUCACAUUGCUACUGGUGGACUUUUGGAUGACUGGAUAAGUAAUGAUGUAAUCAGAAAGAGUUAUUUCAGGCUGUCCUUUCUUAAAAUCUUCAUUUUAGUCUAGUUUAAAUGAUAAACGGACGACGCUUAGUCUUCUUAAACGACUCUUUCAUUACUUUUCACAUUCACCCAUUCACACACUGAUGACAUUUCCUUGUAUUAAAGCUCCUAUAAGGAGUUCUUUGACAUUUAUGAAAUUGAUUUAAAUUCAUAUUAAUGCUUUUUCACGAUGUCCAAAAGCAAACAAGAUCAUCAGCAGCAAAAUUGAUGGUUUUUGAUUCCUAAUUUUAAACACCUGAAACCUGUGUGAGGGGGUAGGUGUCAGCCGAGGAGAUAAGGAAACAGCCAACUGCCGCUACUCAAGUAUUGCUUUGGCCACAGGGGGCGCCAAAGUUGACAUGAACAAAAAGUUCCACGCAGGAUCUUUAAACUUAAGAUAAUUUGAAAAAUGGAGUCGCAAAAGCAGUAAAUAUUAGCUAUUUAAAAUGUAAUGUUAAAAUCUUUUUUGAACAUCUUUCUUUUGACUUAACUGUCAAGUUUAUGGUAUUUAUCCAUAGCAGUCUAGAAACCCACAGAAAUAAACAUUAAUACAUUUUGUGGAUUUUAAAAAUGCGGUCUUUUGUCUUCAUUUACGCUGGUCUCCAUCUUUGUCUAAGUCCUACAUUAUAUUGCACACACAUUGAUCCUAUUGUGUAUUUUAGGGUUUAACAACAGCUAGUAAGAAACAUCUACGCAUGGCAUGUACUUAUCCUGUGAGGAACUUUUAGUUUAUGUCAAUUUUGGCGCCCCCAUGUGGACAAAACAGGCUUUGCUGAUCUUAUCCUCUACCUGUCAGCUGACUUUGCCGGUGAAACGCAUCAUUUAAUGUGCAAAUUGUAAAAACAGGCCUGUAAGGUUAACACCUACCCCCUCACACCAGUUUCAGGCAUUAAAAACAAGACUAUAGGAAUCAGCUGAUGCUCUUGUUUGCUUUUGCACAUAUAAACGCCAAAAAACUCCUUAUAGGAGCUUUAACCUAUGAAUUACAGAGAAAAGAGGAAAAUUAUGCACACUCUAAGCUUAUUUUUAUGUAAAUUUAUGUUAUUGGGGUACGCUUAAAUCAAACUAAAUCUGCAAAUUUACAGAUCAAAAUCAAUCAAACUAGAAUAUAUUUUCAUUUCCUGUGCAGGUGUUUGACAUCGUAUGCUUAUUUGCUUUGGGUUCUGAUUUAUACAGCAACACCUGCGAGUAGGAUAAUGCUGUAGUGCCUCAGUUUCUGCACAUAAAAGCAAAUAUACACACUUUGGAAGCAGGUCAACUGUGAGUUCAGUCCACAUCUGAUGUAACAGCAGCUUCUCAGACUGGUUCAGGGAGCUGUGAUUAUGGACCCAAACCUGGGGCUGCCUUUGGGACUCACAAAAUGUUCUCAAAUGCAGACUAUAAAUGUGUCAAAUUGAACAUUGUUACAGCUUCUUUUUCAUAAAAAAAUAGCGUUAAAAAAGACCCAGAGAGGAACUUUGCAACCCUGUGCCAGUGUUUCCUGAGCGAGUGAUGAGUGCGCCAUCAUUCCUCACACUUUCCAAGGCUGAAAGGAGCCCACAAUGACAACCCAAACAAUGUGAAUCAGGAGAUGGAGCAACAGUGCAUCAUUAGUGCACUGUUGCCAUGGAGCCCAUGUUGGUAAAAGUAAUACGUCUGCAGCUGUUACAUCCCCAGGAGCAGGUGAAAUAAUGAAGCAUUACUUUUUUGGCCCCUGAUGUGGCACUUUGGGUUUCCUAAAGCAAAUACUCCAAGAAUGGAAGGUAAAACCUCGGUCAGGAGGAAAAGGGCACAGACCUAAACAAUCUAGGAGGCACAAUUUGUUAAAUUCUUGCUGCUCUGUUGCAAUAGCCUGGAUCCAGCCCAGUGAGGCGCACAUUCUGAGUACAUUCGUACAUGCUCAUUAACCACAUUAUCAUUUGAAUUUGUCUUUGGGGCUGCCUCCGUGGAUUCAUUGUCAUCUGUGCUGGUGGCGGGCCGGUUUGUGGGCUAUCACGCUGACAGGGCUGCUUUGCUUAUGCCUGCGUGAGGACGCAGACAAACUGUGUUCUGAUCACAAAUUAGCACAUCCAUUCACAGCGUUUGAUGUCUGUGUGCUCAAACUGCCACAAACCACUGAAAGCACUGCCAGAUCUCUGAAUCAUAAAAUUAAUCACUUGGCAACCGAGGGGAAUACGAGGGAGAAGAAAUCAUGGGGAAGGACGGUGCUGUAACAGAGUUGGUCCCGACCAAAUAGAGAAACGGUGUGUGGAUGCACGGAGUCUGGCUCGACCACACUGGAAAUGUCCACCAUUAAGCAGACCAAUCACACGGCUCUAAUCCGCCGUCGUAUUUGCCGCCUGAUUUGAUACGUAACACAUCAACCUGGUUUAAUCAUGCGUUCGCUCGCAUCUUUUGAAUUUUUGAUGACUUGCUUGCUUAACUCCUUAACGGGAAGAUUGACUCAUUAAUAAAACAUUGUGUUGGCUUUACAUCUAGACUGGUAAGAGUAUAUGUCAUUACACGUACGCAGAGUGAAGCCUGCUCGCCGCGGUCUUGCCUUCGACUUGUCAUAGAAUCACCCGCAUGCUUUGAAGGAGUGCUGUGGAAAGACACCGGGAGUGAGGGGAGAUCACACUAAAAAAAGAGAAAAAUCACUCCAGUCUCUCAUUUUAUAUAAGACUACUUUUUCCCAUUUCAUACGGCUUUUAAAAAAACAUCGCAAUUUAUCUGACAGAGCCGGGCGAAAAUGAUAAAAGCGAAGAACAUGGAGUCGCAGUGACAUGGCCCACAUUCAGAACCGUCUCAUGCCAACAUAUUCGCUUUGACAGUGCUAUUUAAAGUACCACAGCGAUGACCUAUUACCCGGUUGUUGCUGCACUUGCUGCUAUUGUCCUUGGUGAUGAUAAUAAUGCCAGCUUGAGAGGAGAUUGCUGUGGAAAAAAAAGGGAUGAGCUCCGUUGUGCACGCUGCAUUUGCUUUUAUUGCUGGCAUGCCUUCAUCUUGCACAUUCUCCCCACUGUAUUAGGCCUUAGUUAAAGACACAAGCUAAUAAGGUUGCAGGAGACAUUUUAAUGGCAAUUGCUUUUCAAGCCUCGCAAAUGGCACAGCUCUGAGGACGGCAGCGUUAUUCAGCCAGACAAUUGGACAUUCAUGAUCCCCCGGUGGAAGAGGAGAAUUGAAUUUGUGUAACUUUUCCUGAAGCUGUAGCUGCAGAUCAAGAGUUUCUGAGUUAUAUCAGAUGAAAUUCACCAACAUCAGCUGUCUGGACUGAAACACACUUUGGUACACAUCCCUAACUCCCAGAGGACCACCCCUUCAAUGACUUCCAUCAUUCUAUUUCCUGUCCAGUUUUGGGUGAAAUGACAUAUUUCAGAGUCUAUUCAUGCAGGAGACUUUACACCAGAAGUUUAUUUAGGGAUCUCCUGGGGAUCGCCGAACCCCCCCAGGGUCUGAUGGAUCGAAGGAAAGGAGAAAAAAGGAGCUGUGGGUGAUCCUGAUUGUCACAGACUUUUAAUUCAAGUAAUAAAUAUGUCAAGAUUAAUUUUGGCUCCAGAUUGAAGGAUAAUGCCGACUGUGGGAAAAGGCAUACCUACAAACAGAGAUAUGACAUACAGUGACUGAUGAACUGAGGUAUUUCACUGAUUACUUAAUGGAGGAACCUUUUUAACUCUGAAUUUAAGGCUCUUACCUGAUAACCAUAUUGUUUUUUCUUCAUCCAUUUUUUAAACAAAAGAUGGUUCAAUUUGACAACAAACUGGGUUCUGAAAUAUUAAGUGAAUGCUAAUAGGAAUAUUAAAGCCAUUCAGAACCAUCCAUCCAUCCAACUAAACAUCACUCCAUGUAUCCAUCCAUCUAUCCAUCCAUCCAUCCAUCCAUCUAAACAUCAAUCCAUUUAUCCAUCCAUCUAUCCAUCAUCUAAACAUCCAUCCAUUUAUCCAUCCAUCUAUCCAUCAUCUAAACAUCCAUCCAUCCAUCAAUUCAUUUAUCCAUUCAUCCAUCCAUCAUCUAAACAUCCAUCCAUCCGUCCAUUGUAACAUGUAUCAAUCCAUCCAUGCAUCUACUGUAUAUUAACAUGCGCCUAUCAAUUGAUCGAUCCAUCCAUCCAACCAUCCAUCCCAACAUGUAUCCAUCAUUCAUCCAUCUAUUUUAACAUGCAUCCAUCCAUCCAUCCAUCCAUCCUAACAUGUAUACAUCCAUCCAUCUUAACAUGCAUUGAUCCAUCCAUCCAUCCAUCCAUCUAUCUAUCUUAACAUCCAUCCAUCCAUCCAUCUAAACAAUAAUCCAUUUAUCCAUUCAUUCAUCCAUCGUCUAAACAUGCAUCCAUCCAUCCAUCCAUCCAUCUUAACAUGUAUCGAUCAAUCCAUCCAUCCAUCCAUCUAAAUAUCUAUCCAUUCAUCAAUCCAUCCACACUAACAGUCAUCCAUCAAUCAAUUCUUCUAUUCAUCUAAACAAGCAUCCAUCCAUCCAUACUCAAAAGCUCAUUUUACAGCAGUAUUUAAACAUAUUUAUGUAGUGGUAAAAAAAAAAAAAAAAUCUCUAAAAAAAUGUUUUGGUAAACCAUUUAAAAGAAAUGGUUUGAAAUUAUUAAAAUAGUUUGGAUUGUGUAGCUGCAAAGAUUCAGGCAUAAUUUUGGGGUAACUGAGAACAUGAUUUGACUCAGCUUUUAAAUAUGGCAGCUGUCAUCUUUGAGCUCAGUAAAGCCAUGUUCAGAAUCCAUCACAGUGCUUCUGUCCAUGAAUCUGCCCAGUUAGAUAACUUUUUAACUUGUUAUGACUGCUUUCCUAAGUCUUAUUCCUAACAAACAAUAUUGAAAUAUAAAGACACACAUAGAGCCUUUACUCCAGUCCACCUUUGUCAAGUCCAAACCACUCAAAACAGUCGAGUUCACAUUGACUCAAGCUUGUUAACCUCAGGAGCACUCACACGCACGUCGCAAUACUUCAGCUGCAGGAGAUGCUCAUUGUAGGCGGUGGGUUCUGUUCGCUGGACAGAGGGGCUUUAAGUGGAGAGCACUUCAACGCAGGUAAAAGUCUGUCGGCUUCUCAGGGAUGUGUGUCCGGUUUUAUCUUUCCUGCACCGAGCUCAUCGACGGUGACAGUCAGGUCUUAUGGCGAGAGAGUUCCAGUCGAGUUUGAUUAGAGCAAAAGUGUUUCUGUGGGACGUUAAAAAAACAAGGAACAAUGGAGGAAGAUGGUAGGUUGGUUGAUUCUUGACCUUGGGAAACAAUGAUGCAAGAUGGUAUCAACCUAGAGUGAUCACCUUGGACAAUUACGUUUGUUAUAUUAGCUUUUAGCGCAAUGAACAGCCUCUAAGGUCGUGUUCACACCUAAAGGUCAGUUUCCUGAUUCGAAUCCAAGGCAAGAGGAUACAUUUGUUUUGAUUGUUUAACUGGUCCGGUUUGCGUUCACAAAGGACAAAAUCAAUCGCUCCAGAAAACGGAACCGGAAGUCACGUGACCGCGAAUAUCGUUCGGUUAUUGGUUAUCAGUUUAUGCUUGAAUACAAACCCCGCUCUGCUGUCUUUGCCUGUCAUGGAGCAUCGUAGGCUGAUUUUGCCAAACAACAGACGGACAAAGACAAGACGGCGACAGGCAUUAAUGAGAGUCUACCACGAUGCGUUUUCUCUCUAGUGUCAAUCGGGACAAGUGAGGUGAGCGAACAACAUUCAUUUCACAACCAGCAUUACAAAAAGCCUAGCCUAGGUGCUUUUCCUGUGAUUGGUGUGGAUGACGUUCACACCAGAAAUGGACCGCUCCAGAGUUCACUUGAUAGAGGUCCGAGACCACCUCUUCAGGCAGACCAGAGUUCGUUUAUUUGGUCCGGACCAGAGUUCGAGGUCAGUGUUCACGAACUGCACCAAGGGGGGGUAAACGUUCCAGGGUUCGGUUUAACCGCACUAAACGUGGGUGGUGUGAACGCGCCCUUAGAGCCACAAGAACGGCGAACAGGAUGUUAUUAAAAUACAAUUUACCUUGCUUUAACAAAACCUGGUCUACAUUUAUUAAUAAACUGACUUUCAACGAUCGCCGGACCCCCCAAACCACAGCAUCCAUAAAAUCUGGCCCCAUCUUACUCACAUCCACAUAAUCAGCACAAACACAUCAACACAUUUGCAUCUGCCCCCAUGCAUGACAUCGGACAUCCUGCCGGACCUGCUCUCCACUUGAGCUUACAGCUUUUAUGCUGGUCGGUCAGGGGUCUCCUUGAUUUAGAAGGGGGUUUGGAGCAAUGGGGGGGGGGGUGAAACAAAAGCUUCAUACACACACGUGCACACAUUCACAUGCAUACACACACUACUUUAAGAUACUGUUAACUGUUUUUGUUUCUGUCUUGUCUGUAUAUGUACCCACCAUCACUAUUUUUGUGUUUUUGUUUUGUUUUGUUUUGUUUGUAUGUUAUAUAAAAUAAAAUUUAAAAAAAAAAAAUACAAUUUACAUAUCUUCACUCCAAAGUUUCAUGACACAGAGAGAAGUUGUUAUAUAUUUCUUUGAGCCCUUAUUGUAAUUCUAAAUAUAUUCACGACUCACAAAAAAUCCAGCGAGAUAACUCCGGAUUUUGCCUCGGCAGAGACAUCUACAUAAACAUGAUUUGAACUUUUUCGUCGUGUGGAUUCGCAGAAAGCCUUGUUUUUCUAACGACAAUAACGCAUGAUAAACUGUGACAUAUUUACACACAUCAUAGUACCGCUCUUUAACCGAGCACAUGUGGGUUUGUCAGCUUCCGAGGCACUGGGAGCUCAACGUCAGGAUUUAGUGCAUGUCGAAGCUUACGAAUGAGGAAUGCAGCGAGGGAGUGUGUCUCUUGACUUUAUGGUUGCAUGCAUAUGUCCUUGUGUGCGCACGUAACACCGGGGCCUUCAUCCUUCAGCUUGUGCAAGAGCGUGAAGGCAUUUGAAUGUGUACAAAUGAGGGCUCUGGCACGAAUGUGUGUUUAUGCAUGGAUGCGUACAGCACAUGUGUAGGUGUGUAUGCGUGUGAGGCCUGUUGCUGGCCAUCCAAGCGGACAGGUGUCAGGUCGUAUCUGUGCACUGCUCCAGUGACCAGGUGGAAACCUGGAGGAGGGAAGGUGAAUCACUGGGGCACACUGGGGCAUCAAAACUGCUCGGCUUAGUCUACUAUUACCUAAACACACACACAUACACUAUUGGGGACACCCUUACAAACACACACACACACAUUCAAAGUGUUAUCUUGGAGAGGAGAGGAAGAAACAUGGGAGGGAAGAGGAGGAGAGUGAGUGCAUGCAAAGAGAGUAAUCAGAUCGGUCUGAGGGGGGGGGGCUAGUUGACUCGGUCUGGCACCCCGCUCGUAAAUACACAUUCAGAUUGAGUUGUGAAAAGUCACAUUCAAAGUGAAGUACACACCUACUUACGAAUUUGGAUUGCAUUACCGAGCGCAGCAUGAGAACCGCACACCCGUCCAAAAAAAGAGAGAGAAACGCGCCGAAAACGGACACGUCCAAUCAGCAGCAGCUUGAUUGAAUUGAGGAGAUAGAAAACACGCAAACAGCAUCCCAACUCUUUCCUCCUUCCUCAUUUUUGCACUCCCAAUUAAUUUAAAUGCACACACACACACUUAUACACACUUAUACACACACACACACACACUGUGGUGGAGAUAAUUGCUGCAGCAGCGAUACAAACUCAUGACAGGAGAGUGAAGCAGAAAUAACAGCGCUGAUGUUCCCUUCGACGUACAUCGCUCUGUCAAAUCCUCCACUCUCCUCUUUUCAAACACACACUUACAUACUCCAACACCAGCCUCCUAAACCUCCCUAUUCUCAGCUCAACCCCCACGCACACACACACACACACACCACGGACACUUUACCGCCUCCUCCCUCGUUCACCCACUGCCUUCUUGUCACCUUAGUCACUCCUCACCUCCUCCGGCGCCUCCACUCCUAAUUUCCUCCCACUCUCACUCCUGUUGCCUACUCUCCUCCUCUGUUCCUCACACCUGACCCCACACUCUCCUCUGUCCUUUUCCCUCUCCUUCCUCAUUUUUUAUGUUAUUUCCUGCUUUCCGUCGCUGUUUAUGUCUCCCACUCCAGAUCUCUGUCCCCGUGCCCCUCCUUCGCCUUUGGGUGCAGAAGCAACAGAGAAGUGUCGGAGAGCCUCUGAUCACAGCGGCGUUAACUACAAUUGAGGGUGACGUGUGGCGGGAUGAGACCCAUGUACCGGAAAACCUUAGCUGGCCUGCCUGCAUUCCCUUUUCGUCUCUGGCGUUGUGUGUGUGAGUGAGUGUGUGUGUGUGUGUGCAUAGCCAGCUAUUCUAAUGGGUAGGAAAUGUUACCAGCCCAGUGGGCUGUGAAGGGCUGAACUCACCUUGAGCACUGACAGAGAGAGAGAGGAAGACGGAAGGAGAUACAUAGGCAGACAAAAGACUAAUGAGGUACAUAUACAUAUGUAAGAGAUACAUGUAUUCUUCAUGCUAUGGUAAGGAUAAGCAGGUACAUGCUUGAAAUAACCCUAUUGUCUCUUUCUUUUAUAGCUCUAUACAGAUGGAAACGAAGCUGAUCAAUGAGCCUCUAUUCAAAGUCUUCAGUCCAUAAAUCUCUUCACCUGCUUUUCCUGAUAUUCUUUGAAUUCGGCAUCAUUUCUAAGCUCCCCUUCAGUGGAAAUUUAAGAUAUUUUAUUCAGACACAGGGGGGAGGGCGGUGUGUUGUGAAGCGUCCUCGUUCAGGUCAGAAACUUUUAAUUACGUGUUGAAAAGUCCCGUACUUUUCUUGAUCUUGUCUCGUGCAAGUGCAAGCCGGGUUUAAACAUGCACUUGCACAGCCUCUCUACGAACAUCAGUAACUGUGAGUUAGGAAUGGGCGCAAUGAAUGGAUGAUCGAUUAAUUGAUUGUUAAAAGGCAUGGUUGACGAUCUGAGAAGCAGUUGAAAAAAACUGAGCCGUUGAGGCAGAUUUGAAGAAAGCGUCCCUCCGCCCACCACACAAACCUCUCCCCUCUGUGCUCCACGAUAACUCCCCCUCGAACCUGUAUCACCCUCCCAACGACACACCCCCUCUGGCAGAGCAAGAAUCGGCUGACAGAAGAUCCUACGCUAGCUUCACCACGUCGGAUUGCUAGUGAUUAGCGGCAGUAAACGCCAGCUCUGCUAGCUAGCACAGUCUGCAGCUGCCUGGACAGCUACCGUGUAAUAAGAGUUAUUUAUGUAACAUGUGCCACGAUAAAAGACAAAAAUUACCUGUUCAAUAAAAACUCUGCUGUCUUAGUGUCUGUUUCCAGGCCCAAAUCCUGGCAGAGCUUUCUUCGCUGCUUGAAGGAUGACCCCGUGUUAAUUCGAGUUAGAUUCCUCGUUUGGUCACAUCUCCUCUUUGUCUCCGUCUGCUUAUGUUUUCUUAACACUUGGCGGUGGGGCAAGCAGAAGUGUUUUUUUGUUUGUUUUUUGUAUCCUCCUCCAUCACAGUUCCUGUAGCUAAGCCACUACGCUACUUUUAGCCGCUCAGAACUCCGAGGAGGGCCAGGAGAGUGGGAGGGGACGAGUCGGAACUGUGGGAGAGGGGUGUGUCAAAUACAGCAAGGUGAUUGGAUGGAGAGGCGGAGCUUGAGAUUGACCGAUAGGAGCUGUCCGGGAUGGAUGGCUCCCAUUGGUCAAUGUUUUUGCAGCCCUGCACCUGCUAGGGUGAACGGAUUUUUUCCUUUCUUUUUUCUCUUCACCUUGUAGAGAUCACUAAAGGACCAUGAUCGCCAUAUAAACGAGGUUCAUAAUAAUCACCAAUCUCCAGAUCGUCAACCAUGCCUUUAAGAAUUACAUCGAUCAUGCAACAUUUUGAUCGAUCUAACAUUAUUAACAUAUUCCAGCAAAGAUCAACCUCGGCUGAUCGGGAGGUAUACCCUCUUUGUCCAGUGAGUGUUUGUGUGUUAAAGCGAUGCAGUGACUUUCACAGUGUGUAAGGAUGUUGACAUUUUACAAAGGGAGCGGUACAGCGUCAGAAUAGUAAUACAGACGCAGAAGUUGAAAAAAGCAAAACAAAGUGUGGUGCGGGACCAUUUCCAGCUGAAAAAUGAUGAGGUUUGCUGCAAACACUAUGAUGCCGCGUACAAGUACAGCACAACAAUGACCCCAAUGAUGUACCACUUGAACGACAUACAUCCGACUGAGGCUAUUGAAUCCUCUGAGUGCUCUCAUCUCAACUGACCAUCAGCUCCUUGCUAGCAAGGAGGAUCUGUACGGUGACCAGAAAUCCUCGAUUUCAGGGGACAGUCCCUGCUUUGGAUGACCUGUCCCUCGGCUAAAGAUGUUCUUGGAAAUGUUCCUGAUUUUAGUGCUUCAUGAUUGACAGAAAAACUAAUGGUAUUUACGGUAGACGGACAGGUAGGAAGUGCAAGUGAGCAUGUAGCAUGCAGUCCUUAACGCCGUGGUUCUCAAAUCCAGUCCUCGAGCCCCCCCGUCCUGCAUGUUUUGGAUGUUUCCCUGCUCCAACACACCUGAUUCAAAUGAUCAGCUCGUUAUUAAGCCAUUACAGAGCUUGAUAACGAGCUGAUCAUUUGAAUCAGGUGUGUUGGAGCAGGGAGACAUCCAAAACAUGCAGGAUGGGGGGGCUCGAGGACUGGAUUUGAGAACCACUGCCUUAACAACAGUGAGGGCGGUAUUUGAAUGAGGAAAAACAUGUUUUUUGUGUAUUUUCUAUCAUUCGCAUUUAACAAAACGACCAAAUCAAUGAUUGUGUAACGGACAGUUUAUGCAGAGGGGGGGUCCAUGACGACAAGCUGUCUUUGUUUUUGUUGUUUCAUGGUGAGUUUGACUUGUACUGGGGUUACUGUCAUUUUUGCCUUGCACUUUAGUAUUACGUGGAUGUCACGUGUGAGUAUGCUGAGGGACAACGUCGGAAAACCAGGAAGAGACAGAUGAACAAGAACGUCGUCUGCACAAUCCCAGCUAUUUUUGCUUUUACUGUUGGUUUUAAGAAGGGUGAACAUGGUAGUUUCAUUUACUUUAUUGUUGUUCAACUUAAAUUCUUUGCAAUAUGUUGUUUUAUUGACAUUGUCUUUAUUAAUUCGUUAUUUAGUUUUCACGGUUGUACCACUUAUAUCUUCCAGAAAUAAAAGGUUGUGGGAAUCAGUUUGAAGUGUGGACCAUUUAUAACCAACAGUUACAGAUUGAUCAUCAAUCUAUAUGAUUAAUCAAUCAAGGGACUUUCUUAAAAUGCCCAUUCCUACUGUGAAUACUUGCAAGAAAAGGCAGAGUCGUAUAAACAAAUUAAUAAACAGUUAAAAAGUCCCUGUCAGUGCAAGCUCAUCUUUGUCAAACGGUUUUAAUCUCAUCCUCAAAAAUGGUGAAACCAUGCUUGACACAAACAACAGUUGGAAAAAUUAACAUCCUAAAGCAUAACAAACAACAACAACAACAAAAAACAUCUGGUUUCCUGCAGCAAAACAGGCCGAAUCCCCACAACGAGAUGCGAAGAAGCCUCGAUAGAAAAGGAGGCUGUAACAGCAAAUAUACGCCAAUUGUUAAGUAAUCACAUAGAAGUCCAGUGCAUUGCACAAUCCCUGCAAUGUGAUGCACAUGCAAUGUGUCUGUGGAUCUCUCCUCAGCCAUCCUGCUGUUCAGAUGCCAAUAAGAGGCAAUAACAUUCAGUGGGGGCAGAAACUGUAGGAGACUAUAGUCCCCUUGGCUGCAGUUCGGUAGCAAAUACUCACACACAUGAAGAAAAAUGCGCGCACACACAGACGCUCUCACUGGACACCUUUUGCUAAUUACCUUUACAUUUUAUCCCCCUGCUUACUCAGGCAUUAUUUCAAGCAACAGCAGGUUAUUGACUCUUGAGAGCAUGUGUGUGUGUGUGUGUGAGCUAAUAGGUGGUUGUCGCACUUUGUUUCCUGUCCGUUUUUGAAAUUCACCGCAUUUGAGGCCAAAGUGCCGAGCGCCGCUUAGGCUCUGGUACAACAGAUGGAAAAUCCGUCACGAUCAGUGCCGUCGUUUUCCUGAAAUCAGCGUUUGAAGGUGGGACAAAGAAAGCUGUGAACCAGGACUGGAAAGUGAGUCAAGUCUAUUAUCUAUGAGGAACUAUCCUCAAUAUCUUACGUACCCUAUCAGGGGAUUACAGACACGAACUCAAACCCCUGUAGUCGGGACUGGUCCUCCUUUCGAGAAGCUGUUAUUGAUUCCUUUGCCUAUCGGCGACUCAGUCACAGCCGUCCACUCUUUAAUAUUUGACAUUUUUUCCAUUAAUCUUCAUCAUUUAUCAUAGUUGGAUGUUCAGUCUGACAGUCGGAAAGAAACCUCCCAGAUUUGAUCCUCUCUAAAUCUGCAGAGAUAAAGACACAAGUAGGAACACACAUGCGUGUUUCUUGCACUUGUACAGGAGAAUAGAUACAGCAAUGGCGACGGAAGAUUUUCUCUUUUUUCUCGACUUGGGAGUGAGCAGCAUGUCUCUCUAUAUAUAUUGCACUUUCCUUCACCUUGGUGUCCCCCCAGAGAGUACACCACAGCAGUGAUGCAUCAAUGGAGGAGUCCAAGCUAUCUAACUAAGGUAGGGAAUACAGACAGAACAUGACGUGCAGAGUGUUUUUUGUUAAAAAAUCAAUUUAAACAGCCCCGGACAUUCAAAUCAAGGCAAAACUCUCCACUUCACACAGCCUAACCAUGACUGACUGACUCCAAGAGUCUCUGUGCUCCCCGUGUCUUCAUCUGAAUGCUGCACUGUUGCCAUAGAAAUAAUCCUCUGAACCUGACAAAAACAAACAACAACAAAAUAAAACUGCCAGCCAAGAAUAACCCUGAAAGAACUGCAUCUCUAUUUAGUGUCAUGCUGAACUCAACAUCUGAUAUCCAGUCAGAAAUCAUGUGGACAUGAUCUAAAAGAAGAAUUUGUUGGAGUCAAACUGCAGCUGGGUAUAAAAAAGUCGUACCAAAAACUCUCUCCAGCUACACCUGGGUCACAAAUGGUGAAAUGUGAGGUUCCUAAGUGUGUUAUCACAAAAUCUGCUGCGAUCAUUGAACCAUCUUAUCCUGAGAGAGACUUAACUGAGUGUUAGAAGCCAAGGACAAGUUCAGCUACUGACUCGCUCCUGCUCUCAGGAGUAACUAUUUGUUUGUUUUUAGGGUAAAUUACUGUAUUUCCUAUUUCACAUAGUAAAAAAAAAUAAUCAAGUUUUCUAAUGUCAUGGACACUGUAAAUAAAUAUAUUUAUUUACAGCAUAUUAUAGGUUUAAAGAGGCCCUUUUAUGAAAUUAGUCAAUUUUCCCGAUUAAAUGUAUUAUUUGUGUUAAUUUAAGUGUAAUUUACUGUAUUUCCUGUUUCUCAUGAAUAAGAAAGUCAAGGUUCUAAUGUCAUUGACACAGUAUAUCUAUUCACGGCAUAUUAUAAGUUUGAAGAGGCCCGUUUAUGAAAUUAGUCAUUUUUCCUGAUUAAAUGUAGUGUUUGUGUUAAUUUAAGUGUAAAUUACUGUAUUCCAGUUUCCCGUGAAAAAAAUAAUCAAGGUUUCUAAUGUCAUUGACACUGUAUAUUUCAUUUACGGCAUAUUAUAAGUUUAAAGAGGCUGUUUUAAGAAGUUAGUCAUUUUUCCUGAUUAAAUGUAGUGUUUGUGUUAAUUUAAGUGUAAAUUACUGUAUUCCAGUUUCCCAUGGGAAAAAAAGAGGUUUCUAAUAUCAUUGAUGCAAUAUAUUCAUGUACAACAUAUUAUGAGUUUAAAGAGGCCGAUUUAUGAAAUAGUCAUUUUUCCUGGUUAUAUGUAUUAUUUGUGUUAAUUUUAGGGAUGGGUCCGAAUAUUCGGCGCCGAAAAUAUUCGGCCGAAAAGCAUCAAAAAUGAAUUUUCGGUUUUCGGCCGAAUAGAUGUUAUGGCCGAAAAAAAUCACCGAAUAGUGUGGAUAAACAUUGGUCUAGUAUGAACUCUCAAAAAUGGAAAACGCAGACGGCGCUGUUUUACCUGUUUUAGUAGCAUGUUGAUGACGUAAUCGGAACGCGACAAGGCGUUCCCGUGCUGAUACGACGCACACGAUACGUGCAGCUGUCUUGGCUCGAAGCCGUUCAACCGGCAUGUCUGCGGUUUGGAAAUAUUUCGACAUAUCAGAGAAAGAUGGUCUGAUGGCAAUUUAUAAACUCUGCUCUGCUGAAGUGUCUCGAGGUGGUGUGACGGCAAAAACUUUCAGUACAUCGGGGCUAAUCAACCACUUGAGCGCUAAACAUAAGGACAAACAUGACGACUUUAAGAAACUCACUGCACAAAAGUUUGCACAAUCGUAUAUGCAUGCAUGUAAGUGCAUUUAUUGUUGAAGUCCUCAGGCCUGGAUUUGUGUUUACUGUUGCACAAUCAUGUAUAUGCAUGCACGUACCUGCAUUUAUUUUAUUUAUUUUGCAUAUGUGCAUUUUAUUUUAUUUAUUUUAUUUACUUUAGGCUAUCCUACAGGGAAAAUUGCACUUUUUUGUAUUGUUAUUGCAAAGAUGUUAUUUACUUAAUUUUAUUUUAUUGAAUGUUAUUGUUAUAGCAUUGUUAUGUCAUGUCAGCUGAAUAAAUGUUUCAUGGUUCAAACAUAAAGUGAUUAAUAUUUAAGUUUGCCAGGUUUUGCCAUAAUCAGGUAGCUUUAAAACAAAUGUACGGCAAUGACAGCAAUUGUACAAAAGUUGCUUGGUGAUAAAAAUUCAUAGUUUAUAUACAUAUUUAUUAAUCAUAUUCGGCUAUUCGGUUAGGGUUAUUCGGCCAAGUGUUUCUUAUAUUCGGUAUUCGGUUUCGGCCAAGAUUUUCCCAUUCGGUCCAUCCCUAGUUAAUUUAAGUGUAAAUUACUGUAUUCCUGUUUCUCAUGGGAAAAAAUAAAUAUAAAUCAAGGUUUCUAAUGUCAUUGACACAGUAUAUUUAUUUACGGCAUAUUAUAAGUUUGAAGGGGCCCGUUUAUGAAAUUAGUCAUUUUCCCUGAUUAAAUGUAUUGUUUGUGUUAAUUUAAGUGUAAAUUACUGUAUUUCCCAUUUCCCUGUUUCUCAUCUCAUUGAUGCAAUAUAACUAUUUAUUGCACAUUAUCAGUUUACAGAACCUCUUUAUAAAGUUUGUCUGUUUUCUAAUCAAAAGAAUAUUUAUGAAGAUAUUUUAAGUGUAAAUUACUGUUUUUUUCUGUUCCCUAUGGGGGGGGGGGUCAAGGUUUCUAAUGUCAUUGACACAGAAUAUUUAUUUACGGCAUAUUGUGAGUUUGAAGAGGCCCUUUUAUGAAUUUAGUCAUUUUUCCUGAUUAUAUGUAUUGUUUGUGUUAAUUUAAGUGUAAAUUACUGUAUUUCCUAUUUCCCUGUUUCUCAUCCCAUUUAUUUAUUUAUCUAUCAGGGACAGUGCACAUUGAUAAACAUGACAAUUAAUAAAAUCAAAAGGCAUGUAAAUGCGCCAGAGUUAGCCGGAGCUAGUUUUCGUCUGUAGCCCCUGGGCAGGUUAUUAAAAAUGGUGUGACCAUCCAUACAAAAUCCAUACAUUAUAAAAUACAGUGCAAUCCACUUACUACAAAUAGAGAUACAAAGGAAAUACAAAGUGGUUAAAUAGAAUAUAGAAAAUGGCAGUGGCAGUUACUCGUGAGUGCAAGUUUGAUUGGCCUUAAGCCACCUCUUGAUAUUGGAUUUAAAUGUAUGGUAAUGUGCGAUGACCCGGACUUCGCUGGGAAGACUGUUCCAGUGAUUGGAGGCUCUCACAGAGAAGACAGAUUUACCGAAAACACUUUUCCUAAACGGUACCAGGACGUCUCCUCUGGUGGUUGCUCUGGUGUUUCUUCCACCACUGCUAGUUCUCUGCAUGAACUCUUUAAGUGGUGGAGGAGCCAGCCCAUCUAUCACUUUGAAAAUAAGACAUAGAUCCAUAAAACAUUUAAAACUUUCAAAACUAAAUUAGUUGUAAUUUUGUACUAUGUGGCAGUAAUGAUAUCUGUUGGGUUUUUGAUCCAGUACUUUCAGUGUCUGUUUGUUAAGUGACUCUAUGGGUUGUAAAGUAGUUCUGUUGGACUGAGACCAAGUUGUAAAGCAUUGCAUUGAUGCAAUAUAACUAUUUACUGCAUUAUAUGGAUUUACAGAAGCCCUUUUUUAAGUCUGUGUGUUUUCUAAUCUAAUGAAUAUUUAUGGAGGUAUUUUAAGUGUAAAUUACUGUAUUUUCUGUUUCCAUGGCAAAAAAUACUCUGGGUUUCACAUGUCAUCAUUGCAAUAUAUCUAUUUACUGCACAUUAUCAGUUUACAGAAGCUCUUUUAUGAAGUUUGUCUGUUUUCUAAUAAAAUGAAUAUUUAUGGAGAUAUUUUAAGUGUAAAUUACUGUAUUGUCUGUUCUCAUGUUAUGAAAUACUCUGGGUGUCACAUGCAUAUCACGGGCCUGCAGAGACCCUUUUAUCAAUGAGUCUAAUGUCUAAUAUAUGUUAAAUUUCCGUUUGUUUUUUGGGUACUCAACUCUAUUCCCUAUUCCUUUCAAAUCAUAAGAAAUAUAAUUUUCGUAAAAUUACAUUCAACAUAAGCAUACUUCUGCGGAGGCGUUAAAGAAUGUCAACAGCAAGCACAGAAACGUUGAGUGCUGAUCUGCUGAGUGUGAACAAAGCGUCCAUUAAUCCAGACUUUAUGUAGCUGUUAGUUGUCAUGUCAUUCUGGACAGAGAGAGAGCGAGGCGGCUGCACUUCUAAUGACUGGCAGAGCACAAAUUGCGUGGAGGUGAACUAUGGAGUGGAAAUGAAAUAAGAUGUCAUCCAGAAAAUCACAAGGUUGACCAAUCAAAUUAGAGCAGAGUCGACUUUGUGGUAAACGAUGACAAAGAGCAGAGUAUUCACUUACUUUCUUUAUUACUGAAAACAUGAUUUGACGUCGUAAAUACACCUUAAGACAGCAGCACACGGCACACUAAUCCAAGCUUUUAUUUAUAGAAAUAGAAAACUUUGCUCCACCACUUCUUUUUUUUUUCUGUUUGAAGUUCCAAUUUGCUGCCUUCUUUCUGGAGAACGGUAUUAAUCUGUCACAAUAGGGAGCAGACACUCAGAAGGCUUAAUGACAGCGUUUUGUGCAGCAGUCUCUUUUUUCCCUUUGUUCUGUCAUUUAGUGAGAGCUUUUACUGCCGAAUAUUGGACAAGAUUCAAUCACAGUUUAAUUGCAUGUUCCCCGGCAUUUCAACCUUAAUUGCGAGACGCAAAAAUAGCAAUUUAAUUAUUGAUCAUAACGGCACACAUGCUGAAAUGCUCCCGAUAGUUUUUUUUUUUUUUUUUUAAUGUUUUUUUCCCUUAACAAAAAAAAAGAAAAAGUCUGAUUGCAAUCCAAAGUCCACGGCUCAGGAGGAAAACGGUGCUUGUUUAAUGCUGCCCCUAAUUCCAGACUGAGCCGGAAUCAAUAGCACAUUUGAUUUAAAGUUUCUGUCAAAUGAGCCGCUAAUUGCUGAGGCAACUUUAGUCAAACAUUUAGCCGGCUGUGACAGAUGACAGAAACAGUUAGCUUGGCAGUCUUGCUGGGAGAUUUAGGAAUCAUGACGUUAAAAUACAAUCAUAAUCCUAAUCAUGCGGCACUCCAUUUAUCACUUGUCAUAACAUCAAAUUAACACAUAUUGGUUUGUUGCAUGACGGUUAAGUAAGGACAGUGAUUUUAAAGUGUGUAAAAAAGGAAGUAAAUCUGCUUUUAUGCUUUCCUCGUGUCUAUUUUAUACUGUGGGAUGGGCAUCCGGUUUGCUGGAGGAGAUGAGAGCAGGUCUGGUUUUGUAAUUCCACUCUUUGUGGCACAUGACAAGGACACUAAAUUGUCAGGUUGGGAGAAAACAAGAGCCUUCUUUGGCCUGCUCCUGAUAACAACGCAUCAUUAUUUACUCGUCAUAGGCUACAACACUGUGUUCAAGAUAAACUCAGUCUUUUUCUUUCUCCCUCCAACCCAGCGGCAAAUUUAUCUUUAUACAGACAGUCUGGCUCUCAAAGUGCCGCUGCGCAUUCAAAGUUCCUCCUUUCUUUAUUUAUUUCACAGGCAAUGUCAGGUCGCGACGCUCCUGACACUCUGCGGAGUUAACACGCAGUGGAGCUUCAAAGACCCGUCUUUCACGAGUGGGAAGAUGUAAGCUGCAAAGGUGUCUUUCUCGUUUUUUUUUUUUGGGGUGUCAAGGAGGUGAUGUAUUAUGCAGCAGUAGCGCGGUGGGUCAUGUUAUGGAAAGGACCAGCAUGUGGCCCUGACGGAAUAUGUGGUCCAAGAGGGUGAGAAGAUAGCGCUAGCUGCUUAAAUCUUUUGUCCUGGUUCUAUUGAAGAUGGGGGAGGUGCACAACAAGUAGGUGUGCCCCUUCUCCUGUUAGCACCUCUAGACAGACAGCAGCAGCAACAAGGGAUUUCUGUCCAACACUCAAGAUCCAGACCCGUUAUUAUUGAGGCAUUGAGCAAUGCUUAGAGGAUGCUCUGCUGAGACAAUGCAGGAAGGAAGUUGUCCACAGUAAGAAAUAUCAUUAAAAGAUUACGGAAAUUUUAGAUAUUUGUCACCCUAAGGUGACAUGACUCUGUAGUGGAAAUCACUGCUUUGCCUUAAAGGGAUAUUCCGGCAUAAAAUUAAUUUAGGGUCAAACACACCGUAACACCAAGUUAGACACCCCCUCGAGAGAUAAAUGUUGCCGACCGCUUGCUUCUCUAGUUCUACCAACUUUAGUAACGACCGCACGAUAGCAAUAGAAAGAGCCACAUUCUCAACCAAAACGCCACUCUAUAGCCACAAAUAAUGUUUAGAACAGCACCUAACUUCAUCAACAGUACAUAUAGGGUCCCAGCCAGAGUACUAGCCACCAAAAACCUUCUUAACUUUGCCUAAUUUCUUUCGCAAAGAGACUAAACACACCGUCUCUCUUCCAGCAGCUGCUUGUUUGUACGGAGACGUCCGGGCGAGUCCAUCGACUGCAGCGGGGUGACGCAGCUCAAGGAAGAACAUUUAUGAUCAUUUCUUUAUCUUUUCCUUGAAGUCAUAAUCAUCAUAUUAAUCAUUUUGCACUGCAGACGUGGUAGUUCUUCUACCUUAGUGUCGCUGUCUGAUUGCAUUUCCAUGAAGAAAUGAUCAUAAAUGUUCUUCCUUGAGCUGCGUCAUCCCAAUGCAGUGGAUGGACUUGCCUGGAGGUCUCUGUACAAACAAGCAGCUGCUGGAAGAGAGUAGGUGAGUUGUGUUUAGUGUCUUUGCUAAAGAAAUUAGGCAAAGUUAAAAAGAUGUUUGGUGGCUAGUGCUGUGGCUGGGACCCACUGAGCAUUUUUUGGUCUAAAGGAGGUCUAAUAGAUGUCUAAAUGUAGCCUUGAUGACUGGUCCAAAGUCAGGCUACCACAGGUCUAAAAAUGAGAGUAUUUUGGACGUCUAAAUUUAGACCAAGUUUAGACUGAAACUAAAUGUGGGCUAUAUCUAUACUAUAUGUAUAUUGCUCAAUGGCUAUCAUAAUUAUUUUGGUAAAGUACUUGGAGAAUAGUAAUGCAACUCACAGUUGCUUUUUGAAAUAAAUAGUUAUCAAAUCAUGGGUUAAAGUGCAACGUCUAGAUUCUGUCUAAAAAUAUACAGAAUCUAGACGGUUGAAAUUACGUCUAAAAAAAUAGCCGUCGAAUAGCCGUCUAUUGCUCAGUGGGGACCCCAUAUGUACUGUUGAUGAAGUCAGGUGCUGUUCUGAACGUUAUUUGUGGCUAUAGAGUGGCGUUUUGGUUGAGCGUGUGGCUCUCUGUAUCGCUUUCUGCAGUGGUUACUAAAGUUGGUGUAAAUAGAGAAGCAAGCAGGUCGGCAACAUUCAUCUCUCGAGGGGGUGUCUAACUCGGUGUUACGGUGUGUUUGACCCUAAAUUAAUUUUAAAUUAGUUUCCAAAAACCACAGGUCGUCUCUGCUUCCACAAAUGCAGGUUAAGCUGCAACAUAAAUGGAGGAAGCAAUCUAUAAACAUCAUCCAGAGGGUUUUUUUAAAGAACCUAGAGGAAUCCAGAAACUUUCCUGCACCCUGUUAGAUUAAAAAUUUUUUCAUUAUUUCUGAAAAUCAUGUAUGCUGCCUCCUCUGAUCAAAAGACGAGGACAUCUCAGACUUUAAAAAUCCUGCAUCUAUGAUGGGGAUGCAUGCGUGCUCGUGGCAUUGAUAUAUUUUAGUUAUUUAUUUUCAAUUGUUUUAUUAUCUAUCUAUUAUUAUCUAUCAUCUAUGUAUUAUAACAGGGAACAUAUUUGCAUCCCAGCAGCAGAUACUUCUUUAGAGGUGGCUCAGGUAGAGCUGGCCGUCUCUCAAUCAAGAGGUUAAGGGUUUAACCUUGCCAACACUUGGUAAAUAGAAUUAGUAUGAGGGACACACAGUUAGCAGAGGCUGCAAUGUAAAGUGCCCAUCAAUAUUAAAGGGCUGUUUCAGUAUUUUUCAAGUGAGGCUGUAGGAGUUCGAUGUCACUGGUGAGUGUACUGACCACAAUGGAUGCUGGUCAGCUCUGCCCCUUUAAUGGGAAACUACCAGUAGAAACUGGGUAUGCUACAGCUCAUCAGAUUUAGUGCCUGAAUAAUAAACCAAAAUUUAUUCUCCGUUACAGCAUCUUCUUGUGAAAAAAAAAACAGGAUAAUAAACAUAAAAAAUGUUAUUUGAGCCACAUAAAAACUUGUUAUCUGAAGGUAUUACAGGCCGCUUACAAAAAGAGUCCACUUUUACUAUCAAAACUAGUUCUUUUUUAUCUGUACACUUCCAGAGCCUGUUAAGGUGUGUUUUCAACUCUGUUUUUUCAGACAACACAACCGCGGUUUGGAGAGAUUACACAAUCCAACAGCUGCGAGCCGCAGGAGGAAACGUUUAAAAAACACACCCCGGCCUUUAAUCUUCGGAUUUUUUUUUUAAACAUUUCCCACCUCCUCAAAAAGAUAUUUUAAAAAUACAGUUUUAAAAGCUGUUCUCACACUUUUUGGAAAAGCGGUCCCAGGAUUUUUAUUUCCCUCUGAUUCUUGGUAAAUGAAUCUUGACUGGUUGUGGUGGUGGUUGGUUUCUCAUGCUUCAAGUCUGACACCAGCUGAAAGCUAAUUCGGGGGAAUUAUAUUAAGAGGAAGGCCAAAUUCUAGGAACAUUGAACAAAAUUAACGCUGUGCCCCGCGGCCGAUUCAAGCAAUUACAGGAAAAGAUUGCAUGGUUUUUGACAACACUUUGUGGGUCCUGGUGUCCUCUUUCAAGCACAUGUUCUUCAGGUUUUUCACUAUUAAUAACACAUUCACAACUUGUCAUUAAUUCUGCUUCAUCAAGGGAAAAUUAGCCGAUGAGUGUGCACUGCUAUUAUUUUCAUGAAUGGAUUUAUUAGUGCGAUGUGCGAGCUUUCCAUCGUAACAAAAAGCUUCUUGAGCUCAUUCAGUGUACGCCCUGGUAUGAAGGAAAAAAUAAGGGUUUUUGUGUGGAGGGAAAAACAAAAUACUUAUCAAAUUUGACAAGGUUAGAGAUCACAAAGCCGAAGCUCCACACAGCAUCUCUCUGCAUCCUCCGAGUUCCUGGCCCUCACAUGAGGUUUAGGUCAGGGAAAUGGGUUGACAUGGAGAUUGCAGAAACAUGACUCUGCAGUCAGUGAACCGUGUUUCCGAAGGUCAUUGUUCUACUGGGUGAUCUAACUUUAUACACCGAGUUCAGCUUCCUGCAAAGAAACAGGCCAGAGUUUGGUGUUGGUUUUCACUACCCUUUACCCUCAAUGGUGAUUUUACAGAUAUGCAGAAUUACAACUCUCUCAAAGAACUACUUGAAAUCUCCAGAGACUAGUUUGAUUAUUUUAACCAAGUUUGCUUGUAUGCUGUACUCACAUUUCUGAACAGUUCUUUUGAUCUUAACUUUGCAGCCCAGUGUGGGAUUGCUGUGGUGGGUAUAACAUCAUUCUGCACAUCAAAAUACAGAAAUCUUAAACUGCAGUUUGCAUGUUUUGCAUGCAGAAGAGACACAACGGAGCGGGGAGCGUUAUAAGCCUCUAUUUCCUUUUUUCGGAGCAGCUUGGAUUUUUUUUGGACCCAGCCUGAACUUUUCGGAUUCUGACUCAUCCUGACCCCUGAAACUUUGCUCGCUCUGUAUCUUUGAACUCUUUGGAAGUAAAGACCUUGUGAUACUGCCUGUUGAGUCAUGCACCUCAACCGCGCCUCUUUUUGCCUUUGAACUUUGACACCCAUGAAUAACCAAGACACUCUCUUCAGCUCUUUUGCAGCCUAUGCCUCAUUUUUUUGUGCCCUUUGUAGGAAGCAGGAACGUAAUUGGACAUGGGUUCUGCACUGAAGACCAUGCAUUUUAAAUGACGACCUACAGGACUUACUUUGGCUUCUGCAAGAAAAUGCAUGUCCCUGUAUGAAGACUUGGGUAACACUUUACUUGAUGCCUAUCGCUAUAACGUAUUAUGAAUAUACUUGUUGCUUCUCUGAUCUUGCAUAUAAAAAGGACCAAUCAAAGUGAUUCUGAUGUGUCUGCAUGGCCCUAAAAAUGCAAAUUCAAAAACAGUUGCCAGGAAGUGUAAGAAAUGUGUUAAAUAUGACGCACUUUUAACAUUGUGUUACGUCGCAGUACACUAUGUUACCCAGAAGAUGGCGUUUGAAGAGAGAGGAGCAGGUAGAGCCACACAUCCGCAUAAAAUCUGCAUGUUGCUGGACAGUGACAAGAUUUGGUAACACUUUACUUGACGCCUAUCGCUAUAACAUAUUAUAUAUACAGUAUAUAUAUAUAUGUGUAUGUAUAAUGCGUUAUAAACACGAUACAGCUGUAUAACUAUAGUUAUAAACACUUAUAAAAGAUCAUAAUGCUUUAUAGCAAUAAUCAUUACACAUUAUAAAGCAUUUUAUCAUGACUUACAAGGUCAGGUAUUAUAUGUUAUGAUUAUUGUUAUAAAGCCUUAUGAUAAUUAAUAAGUGUUUAUAAUGAUAGUUAUAUAAGUUUAUAAGCAAAUUAUAACACAUCAUAAAUAUACGUAUAAUUCAUUAUCUAUGUGGGCAUUGUCUGUGAGUUGUUAACAUUUAUAACACAUUAUAAUACCUAACCUUGUAAGUCAUGAUAUAAUGCUUUAUAAUGUGUUAUGAUUAUUGUUAUAAAGCAUUAUGGUUAUUUAUAAGUGUUUAUAACUAUAGUUAUACAGUGCCAUAACGUGAUUAUAAAGCUUUAUACGUAUAUAAUGCGUUAUAGAGAUAGGCGUUAAGUGUUACCAAAACUUCUCAGCAACAUGCAGAUUUUAUGUGGAUGAAUAGCUCUACCUGCUCUGCUCUGUUCAAACGCCAUCUUCUGGGUAACAUAGCGUACUGCAAUAUAACACCAUACCUCUCUGAGCAUUUGACACUGGUGUAUUAUUUGCAAUGUUAAAAGUUCAUCUUUUUAAACAUAUUUAACACGCUUACUGGUAUCUGUUAUUCUGUUAACUAAUAUCAUGUUUCCCAUGUUGCUCCUCUGGUUUUCCUUCUCUCCCUCAAAUCCUCUCCUAUCCAGGCAGUUUUAGGAGCUUCGGGCCAUGCAGACACCUCAGAACCAUUUUGAUUGGUCCUAUUUCAAUGCAAGACUACAGCAGCAACAAGUUUAGUCUAGAUAAAACUUUACAGAUAAAAUCUUGUGAUGCUUUGAACAAAGACGCACUUACUUUACAUCCUGCAUACAGUCCAUAACUACACUGUAAUUAGAGUGAAAAUGGGCUGAACAAUAGGCUGACGUGUCUCUCAGCAUUACACAUUAUUUCAGCAUAAAGAUGACUGUGAAAUGUGUCUGUCUCCCCCUUAAUCUUUCAUUGUAAAACCCUUUUCUAUACAGAUGAGAAGCUCCUACUGUUCCUGAUCCUAACCAAAUCACACACAUCUACGAUUCUCGAAGGAUUUUCCAGUUUUCAAAGCGACAGAAAUAACCUGGUGGGAGCAGUUGUGUGGGAGCGGAGUGUUACAACGAGACAGACUCAUAUUUGGAUUUGAAUCUACCUACUGUACUGCUACGUUAUUUUACUAUCUUGACAGUAAAUGCCAAGCAAAGGCAGAGUGUGUCUCCUUUACUAACCCUCAGCUGGAUUUUCCAAACCAGGUCUGACCUGGUGACAUUUUAAUCUCAAACUUCUGUCUUGAAAUAUUAACUGCCUGUGCUGCAGCUACUCUUGCAGCAGCAGGAAUAGACCACUCAGAGAGCCGGGGGAAUAUUCAAAUUCAGGCUACAGGAUUUAAGCAGAGCACUGAGUCAAGUGUUUUAUUUGGGUGUUGCAGGAGUGGAGAUUGUCAUCGCGCAGAAGAGCACAUCAUCAUCAUGCUUCUUUAUUUUCAACAAGGACCAUUUGGAUUGUAAUAUCAUCCAUUGUUAUCCUGAUUCAUCCAUCUGCGGUUUCCAUGGUGAAAACUGUGAGAAGCAGAGCCCACACACAAGGACUUGUCAGCAGUCAUGAAUAUUUCUCAUUGAACUCAGCCUGCUGAAGGGGGAAGAAAAAACAUGCGUAUUCCAGCAUGUGUCCUCAGACGAUGAGCAAACAUGAAAAGCCUCUUUAAUCAUCAAUGAUUUGAAUUUAAAUCUUCUUUAAAGUGUUUUUAAACGUCAUUGCAAAUGCUCCACCGACAAAAAAGUUGCUUCAACGGUUUGCUCCGGUGUGACAGCCGUGUCGUUACCUCGAAACAAAGCUCAGCGAGUUUGGCAAAUAUUUCCAACAGGGCGGAAAAAUCGAUCAGUCGUGCAAAAUUUUCAACACUUGCCGCCGCAAAUGGGAUCCGUGUUCACUCUAAUUACUUUUUACAAGCGUCCCACAGCAGCAAGACUGUGCUCGAUUUGAUGUCUGCAGAGAUGGAGGGUUAACGAUCAAUGGAUGUGACAUAGUUAAUUAGCCACUUAGAAGACCAUAUAUGAAAGUUAUGAUUCUUCAGAGGUAAACGUUUUCAAGUAAAGGAUUAUAAGAGAUGUUGUAGCCAAGGGUCUGCCAACAAGAAACACUCCCAGCAGGAGUUACAGGAAGACGGCAGGAGUGGGUUUAACGUCUGCUGUCAUCCACCAGGGCUUCAACCCAAAACCUGUCUGUCUGUCUGUCUGUCUGUCUGUCUGUCUAUCUAUCUAUCUAUCUAUCUAUCUAUCUAUCUAUCUAUCUAUCUAUCUAUCUAUCAUGUACAAAGCAAUAAAUAAUGUAUUGCCUGUAAAUAUCCAAAAAAUGCUUUUUAACAGAGCUGGGGGUUAUCAUCUGAGAGGGGACUUAAACUUAAAGAAUCACUGGGUUUAACUUCAACGAUGAUCCACCAGGGCUUCAACCCAAAACCAACCAACCAACCAACCAACCAACCAACCAACCAACCAACCAAAAAUUGUUUUUAACAGAGCUGGGGGUUACCAUCUGAGAGGGGACUUAAACUCAAAACAUCAGCGGGUACAUACAAUAAAAUGUUUUUGUUUUUCUGUUUGUGAAGUAAGGUUGUGGAACAGAUAAGGUGUGGAGUUCAAGAAAUGUCCAAGCAUGACCAAGUGUCAAAAGUGGUACAAACACACGAGUCUCACCAGGUACAGGGAGGAAGAAGGGCUCUUACCAUCGGGUGUUUUCAUAAAUUAUUUAUGUUUACUCUAUUUAUGUUUUAUUUUUUAUCAAUAUAAUGUAAAUAUAUUGAAAAAAAAGCAUAAUGCUUCAUCCUACUCCUUUUCCGACAUGUUGGGUUCGUAUUAUUAUUGUUAGUAUUUUUUAAAAAAAAAUAUUUUUUUUGCUUUGAUUAUUGUUAUUGUUGUUUUGAAUAUUUUUAUUGGUUCUGUUUGUUUGUUUUCAGUUUACUUUCUUGUGUUGCACGCACAUGUUCGAAAAAAAAAAUAUCGAUCCCAACCCAACCCCUCAUUCCCACCCCAUAAUCUAACCACAACAGGAAUGUGCGCACCGAUGAAACGCCAUCUUAACAUUCAAGAUCAAGAAAAUACUGGAGGUUUUGGUUAAAAUCUAAAAACAAAGUAACAUAGAAUGAAAUUUAAGAAAUAAUAAAUAAAAUGAAAUAAAAACAUCAGUAAAAGAUACUAAAAUAAAAGCACCAUAAUAGCUCAAUAAAAGAUUAUUCUGUCAUUAAAACUAGAAAGAGAUAAAUGCUAAAAACACUUCAACAAAGUUAAUGAUAUAAAAUUUAGAACAAAAUAAAACAAGACUAAAAAGGUACAUUUUGAGGGUUUUAAAAUCAUUGUACUGCCAUACCAGGGAGCUCACAGUGAAGCUCUCAGUGCUUCACAUACUUAAGUAUCUCUCUCAACCUAUGAUGGAUUCUACUGAUUCCCCCAAAGGUCCCCUGAGGUUCCCCUUCUUUUGAGUACUCAUUGCACAGAAGCUCAGCCUAAGCACAAUGCCUUGACAAGGCUUUUACAUGCAAAUCUGAUGUUUACAGCGGCAUUCAAUUUCAACUUAAUCAACAGAUUGCUUGUUGUUACGGCACACUCAGCUUGAGAUUCUGAUUAACAGCAACAUGACGGAUAAACAUCCGAGCACAAGAGGGGAGUAAGGUUGUAAAGGACUCUACGGUUGACAGCAGGCAAGCCGGGGCCCGUACAGUUCUGACUGCUGCAUGGAUGCGUGGAUACAGUACAGCCUCCGGGCAUGAGCUCAUGCUCCUUUGCUCGCUGAUUGACUGGAGAGUCAUCGAACUGAAAGACGACUUGACAUUCUGUCUAAGAGCGUGGCACGGAUUGAUAAUAAGCUUUUCUGUCCUUGGAUCCUUCAUGCAUUAUUGACACUUGAGCUGCAUGUGAGAGGACUCAUCUUAUAUCUUUUUUAUGUGCAACUGGCUCAGAAGUUUAUAAGACUACAAUAACUACGCUGAAACAGCCGGCCUUUUACCCACUAAUGGAGGAUGACUACUUAUAAAGCUCUGAGCAGAAGAUGAACCUUGUCACCCCAUGGCUUACCUAUACCAUAUGCACUUACUUUGGUUCCAAAUCAUGAAAAAACACCAUGUAAAAGCCUGAGGAAUUCUCUUAAUGCAGCGUUAAACUAUUUAUGAAAUAUUUUGGAUGCGGGAAAGGAAGGGUAAGUAAAUACACUUCUUUUGAAGCUUUAAAUAAAGGUGAAAAUGCUAAUGUGUCAGCGGCUGCUGAAUGUUCAACCUUAGUUUCAGGGCCAGCGAUGGAAAUGGAACCAUGGAAGGAGAAGAAGAAGGCAGUGCCAACAAUAAUUCACUGAGACAAGUGUAAAGUGAAGACAGCCCCAGGGAGAAAACAGGAUUACUAGUUAAUUCAGCUUUGUGUGUGUUAAAUUGGCUGGAAGAGAGUGGCUGUGAGUACUGUGUGUAUGUGGUUGUGUGUAGUCCCAGCACAUGCAAGUUUGAGUCAGCCCGCAUAUGUUCGGAAAGAGCGUGUUCAGGUUGAGAGGAAACUGAGGUCGGGAGGUCAAAUGGGGUUCAAAUGCUGCUAAAUCUGUUCCCUCACAAGCAAAGUGAAAAAUUAGGGGUCUUAGUGAUUCAUCAGAGCAGAUUUGACUCCAGAAGAACAGGUCAAGGUGUGCUAUGUUGACGUAAAUAGAGUACGACUCACACACAAACGCCAACUCAACUCUCAAACUUUCUUGUGAACAAAAUCCUUAAAUGGCACAAAACUGGCAUCAAGUUUCUAAACUAAAAACAGAACUUUUUUAGGGGGAAAGUUUUACGCCAUUUUUAAUCUAAAACAAAAGGCGUAAAAAAGUUCGUAAGGUGGCGAAAUACGACAGUAAAAAUGGAUAAACAUGACACCGGUAACAAGAGCUAGAGACGAGGGGAGCCAAAUUGCAACAGCCAGUGUGUUUACAUGCACAGCUUAAUCGGACUAAGCUUAUAAUUCGUUUUUUUUUUUCGCUGAAUCGGACUUCGCUCCUUGUCCGUGUAUACAUGCAGCUGAGAAAAUCAAAUUAUUGACAUGAACGUGUCCUCCUUCCCAAAACUAGGGGGCGAUAUGGGUCUUUUUAGCAGCGCUGUUUCCGACCUCAUACAACCGUCAACAACAAGAGCAGGUCCGUGACAGACGUCAGAAGUAGCUACAACUGCUACUGGGCAUUUUCGAGCAAGAAGACGGAGCAUCGUACAGCGUUGUUUUUGUCGUACAUGAUGUACGCGCUACUUUUUCUGCAGAUAAGGUGCACGCUACUUUUCUUCUCUGGUGUCUUUGUUCCGGGUUACAGGGGCGUGGCGCACGCGCACAUGCAUUAUUCGAUCAUACUCCGACUACACUGGUUACAUAGUAGAGAAAAUCGAAUUCCAAUCGCAUUAUCUGGGUGUCUUAAUCAAAAUUCUCAGACCCCAAUCGGAGUUCUCAAACUCCGAUUAUAGUUGGACUAAGGUGUUUACAUGCACUUCACAUGUCUGGUCUUAAUCGGAGUAAGGCAAUAAUCCGAUUUUCUCAAGUGUCAUGUGAACGUAUUGACUGUCAUCAGAACAAAAGUCAGGCUUCGACCCUGUCCACAUGGAAAAUACUUUUGUUGCUAGUACUACAAAAAGCUUUUCACGUAUUUUGGGUGACUGUAAAUGAUACUUUUUGAAAAAGGUCCUGGACUUCAUAAAUCCAUACAUGACUUUUGUUUAAUCUCCAUGGUGAUGCCUUUCAGUAACUUGUUUUAAACAUUUACUUCACACAGUGUAACUCUCUUAAGGCGCCCUUUUGCACAUGCUCAUGACUCUUCUUCUGGCUUCUGGGGCAGCGUUACAGCACCACUUACUGGCUUGGCAUACACACUACAUCGUUUUCAGUCAUUUUUAGUGGUUUCGUGUUUUAAGCAGAUAUUUCCUGAAACUACGCUGUCUUUACAGAAAAACUUUCAAAAUGAAACAGCAAUAUAUCAAGGCCUUAGUCUCCAGCUGAUACACCCACCCAGCAGAGGCCUUUUGUUAAAGAGUCAAUAAAAGAUAUGGAGAAAUCAGGGUGGCUAUACAUUUGUUAUCUUUAAAGGAAAUACAUACUCAAUUUAAUCCAGAAUUUCUUGGCCUAUCGCCUGCUUUGCUCUCUAUUUUGUAGAAGAGACACCAACUGAGAUGGCAAGUGUAGUGAAAACAGUCUUUUCAUUAAAUAAUGAGUCAGGCAGCAGUUGGUAGGGGCCUGGGGACACACAUAAGAAGGGAGAGACAGCUUGGGUUUCUCGAAUCAAUCUGUUUAUCCACAGUGCUAACCCAGUAACACUAUCGCUGGGACUGUUUUAGAGACAGGAAAGUUAUUCUUUCCUCUUACACAGCAUUAUCAGUCUAUUUGGCCAAUACCGCACUGAUAGAGUCAGAUAGUGAUACUCGCUUGAGAGCUGAGCACCAUAUCCACACAAACAAGACCACUGGAUUUGGUUAUCUAAUACUUUCAGAGUCAGUGCCCAGCCAGCAAUCUGUAUUUCUCUCUUCUUUAAACCGCCACCAGCGCUGGUUGAAAGAAAAAGGAGGAAAAACAUGCUUCAUGUCGAAAUAAUUGGCCAUCAAGAUCAAAUAACACUGAAAGCCUACGUGAUCAUUUAUCCACCACACAGCUGCGUUAAGUACUUGGAUCUGAUUGGUCAUUAGAGUAACAGCUCCUGAAAAAGGUCAAUUUGUUUUUUCUCAGUAGUCGACCGCUGCUGUGAAGAACAUACAGAUACCUGGAAUACAGCUUUACUUACUGACGCCUGAGGGCAAAAAGAUUGAUGAGAUUAUAUAAAUAUGCCGUAUAACAUAAAGGUAGCAUAGCAUGACUUCAGAGUGUGUGGUAGUGAUGGGUAUGGCAGUUCUUUUAGAUGUACUGAAUCACUGGAAUCAGUUCACUAAAAAGAUUCAUUCACCGAAUCAUUCAGCGCUUGGCUGGAGGAGCCAGCGACUCCGACUGCUGGGUGGUGCAAGAUUCAGUUCAGAUCAUAGCUUCUGGGACCGUGAGAUGUGAGUGUUGUGGCUGUGUUGCUUUAACAAACAGGUUUGUGAAAUGAAUUUGUUUAUAAAUCAUGAUGUUUUAAGUGUACUGUCCGAUGGUACUACUGAUAGCUCUACUGAAGUGAGAAACGAACAAAUCACUUAGGGUUUAGGGAAGUGAUUCAGCUCAGUACACACACUUAAAAGAUUUGGGUCUUUUGAACAAAUCAUUCACAAACAACACAACCACACUAGUGUGUUUAUUGCCUUUGACCUGAGAAAGAUGGAAGAUGUGCAGAAGAAAUGGAAGUGAUUCAGUUCAGUAUGCUCACUUAAAAGAUUCGGUUAUUUUGAAUGAAUUAUUUACGAACAACACAUCACUAGUGUUGGGUUGCCUUUGACCUGAAAAAGAUAGAAGAUGUGCAAAAGAAAUAAAGUGAUUCCGUUCAGUACGCUCACUUAAAAGAUUCGGUUCAUCAGUCACAAACGACACAACACUAGUGUUCGGUUGCCUUUGACCUGAAAAAGAUGGAAGAUGUGCAGAAGAAGUAAAGUGAUUCGGUUUAUACGUUCACUUAAAAGAUUCGGUUCUUUUGAACAAAUCUUCAUGAACAACACAACACUAGUGUGUGGUUGCCUAAGACUUGAGAAAGAUGGAAGAUGUGCAGAAGAAAUAAGGUGAUUUGGUUCAGUUUGACACUUAAAGGAUUCGGUUCUUUUGAACCAAUCACUCAGAAACAACACAACACUUGUGUGCAGUUGCCUUUGACCUGAGAAAGAUGUGCAGAAGGAAUAAAGUGAUUCGGUUCAGUAUGUUCACUGAAAAGAUUUUGUUCUUUUGAACGAAUCAUUCACGAACAACACAACACUAGUGUGGGGUUUCCUUAGACCUGAGAAAGAUGGAAGAUGUGCAAAGAAAAUAAAGUGAUUCGAUUCAGUACGUUUAUUUAAAAGAUUUAGUUUUUUUGAACGAAUCACUGAGAAACAACACUACACUAGUGUGCAGUUGCCUUUGACCUGAGAAAGAUGGAAGAUGUGCAGAAGAAAUAAACUGAUUCGGUUUAUACGUUCACUUAAAAGAUUCAGUUCUUUUGAACGAAUCAUUCUAGAACAACACAACACUAGUGUGUCGUUGCCUAAGACUUGAGAAAGAUGGAAGAUGUGAAGAAGAAAUAAAGUGAUUCGGUUCAGUAUGUCCACUUAAAAGAUUCAGUUCUUUGGAACAAAUCAUCCAUGAACGAAACAGCACUAGUGUGUGGUUGCCUUGGACCUGAGAAAGAUGGAAGAUGUGCAGAAGAAAUAAAGUGAUUCAGAUCAGUAGGUUCACUGAAAAGACUCGGUUCUUUUGAACGAAUCAUUCAUGAAUGACACAGAAAGAAAAAGAAAGCUACAUAACUGGACCUCAUAAAAAGUGCAAAUGCUGAUGCCUUACAAAGGGAUAGCUGGAAAAACUUCACAAACUGCAUACAAAAGCUAGCAGACCAUUUUUUGUUUGACUUUUUUGUGAAUCUCCACACACGCAGAUGAAACUUGUCUUACAAAGGGAUAGCUGGAAAAACUUCACAAACUGCAUACAAAAGCUAGCAGAGCAUUUUUUUGUUUGACUUUUUUGUGAAUCUCCACACACGCAGAUGAAACUUGUAUAGAAGAAACAAAGAAAGGCCCAAAAUGAAACUCUUAAAAAGUGUAGAUGCUGUCCUUAGAGUCUAUUUUCUCUGACCUCAAACUCUAUAAAACAACAGUAUAGAUAUGAUUUGAUGCCCACCACCACCUACACACACUCAGCUGUCCAUUUCCAAGCAACAAGAAAAGGUUAAGUGGCUAAAGCGGUUCAUGUCUGAGUCUCCUCUUAAAAUAUUGCUUAUCAGGUGAAUCAUUGCGUCUAAUUAUGAAAAGUGCUGUGAUGAUUCAGCAUCAGUUACCCAUUAAAACUGCUGUAUUUACUCUGCCACCUCCACUUUGAGGGGAAAAUUUGGACCGAACAUUUUAAAGCAGUUCAUACAGGAUUUGGUCUCUAUAUCAAGACAAGGUCUAGCCUGUCAGACAAGGACAGGCUGAAAAAAAAUAGUAGGAAAUGAGUUUUUCUAACCUAAUUCACAAACCUAAAGUAACAGGGUGAAUAUUUCACAGAAAUAUUUACGCUUUAAAAUAGCUUUGAAAAUAUGUCUUUUCAAUGCACCCACCUGUUUGAAUAACCUUUGAAACUCUGGCUGUAGCAUAUAAACUCCUCUGCUUCUCGCUCUGUCCCUGAUUUGAUAGCAAUCACAAGUUCGUCACCUUACCUUGCUUUAAUUUUAAUGAAAUGCAUCCUGCUAUGCUUUCUAGUAUCCUUCAGGGAUUUUCUAUUACACAACUAAAACGCUGGUACAUCAGAGUGAUAAUAUAAUGGCAUGUGCAGAGACUAAACAUGUGAGGAUGCUGAAUAUUAAAUAAAUAACAGGCUAUCAAUAUGCAUUGCUUUUCCCUCAGGGCUAAGACAGAGAGAGAUGGAGACUGGAGCAGCGUGCAUGCAGAUGGACUGGAGGGCAGAUGCUAAAUGGAAAACUGUGAUUUAAUCAUAAAGCCCGAUGCAGAUCUGUAGGUUAAAAGGCUACAUCGCUGGAGUUGAAGAGCUUCAUCUCUCUGACAAUAAAAGUGACAGACGGAGUGACAGCUGUCUCAAAUAAACAACCCACCUGAGAUUGGAGGGGCAUCGAUUGAUCUUUACGUUUGAAAACUUCUCGAUCAGAGUCAAACCUCGGGGCGUUGCAUUUGUCACGGAUUUAUGACACUCUGUUUGAGCUCAGUGGAGUCGACUCAAAGUGCGGGUCAUGGGGAAUGAGUGAUGGGUGACAAGGGAGCAUCGUCAGUUCAACUCCCUUGCAUAAUUGCGAUUGUAAUCCCACCAUCAGAGGCAGUAAAAGAAUGGUUUAUGUAUUAUCCGUCCAGUCAAUUAUUCCAUUCAAUAUAGUAAACGUUUUUUUUUUUUCUGUAUAACUGAAAAAUAAAAAAAAUUGUGCUUUGUUUUUGUAGUUUCAGCUCAAAACAGAAUAUAUAAUAGAGAUGAAAAUGAAAACAAAAUAAUAAAUCUUAUUUACAAUUAUUGAUUUGGAGUGCGCCUGUUUUGAGCAUACGUGCAUGGAGGCUACAUUGGCCUUCCCAUGAUCCUCAGCGACAGUUACCAUGGCGAAAGAUGCGACAGAGCGGUUCGAGCGCCAAAAUCUUACAUUGUAACAGAGCUCUAGUUGUAAUUUUUUCUACAGUAAUAUCUUCCUCCUUCAGUGUGACCUUCCUGGCGGCUUUGACUAAUACAUAGGAUGCGUCCAUCUCCAUGGCAGCAGGUUAGCCUUUCUCUACCGCUCUGGCCUGGAGUUUUUGGUCCAUGUUGUUGGCUACUUUGCUGCGUAAUGCACAUGUGCGAACAGUAGAAAGGCACCGUAGGAAAUGGGGACAUCAAUAACCCGAAAACAAAAGUAGAUUUGUUAUUUUGUUUUCAAUUCCAUCUCUAUUUUAUAUUCUGUUUUGAACUGAAAAUACAAAAACAAACACUAGACUUUUAUCUUUUUGGUUAUAUAGAAAAACAAAUAAACAAAAUAUUUACUCUUUUUUCAUUUUUCGUUUGCUAGAUUGAAAGGAAUAAUUGAAUGGACAGAUAAUACACAGACCAAGAAUCCAUGUAUCAUUCAUUCGAUUUUCAAAAUAAAACCAAAAUGGAAAAAAAAAAAAACAAGAAAGCAAAUUGUUUUCUAAAUAUUUGUCUGUAAAAUGAAAAAAACAGAUAACGGCUUAUUUUCUGAUUUCCGUUUUCAACAGCUCAAAGAAAAAUGAGAUAAAUGGAUACGACAAUCUUAUCUGAUUUAGACAGGUUCGUCUGGAGAUAGUUUCAUUACCCAGACGUGAACAAUACGUGUCUCAUUCGUUCAUUCGAAAAAAAGAAAAAAAAAAAGGAAAAACAAGAAAAUGAAUUUAUAGAUAGAUAAUGACUUAUUUUCCGAUUUCUGCUAUCUUCAGCUCAAAUGAAAAUGGGACAAAUGGAUAACAACAGUUUUAUCUGGUUUGGACUUUUUCUUCUGUAGAAAGUUUCGUGACUCGGAAAUGAACGGGAAACAGGCUUUGGCGUUAUGGCUGGACCCAAGACUUAAUCAGAGCUCAUAUAGCACUUUUUUUAGGAUGGCAAAACUCAUGCAGAGAUUCCCACCACGCAACAGGAGUGCCAAGGUGCUCUGAAAUGUCUGUCAGAAGGUUCUGUGCCCAAAACAACCUGAGGAGAAAAGGACACAUAUCAGACACACAGCUGGGGGCCGCCUCCCACGAAUGAAUGAGCCGUUAUCCCUUUUUUCAUUUUCAUUUUAGAGACAAAAAUUUAGAAAACAAUUCGUUUUCUCGUUUUUUUUCUUUCAUUUUUGGUUUUAUUUUGAAAAUCGAAUAAACAAAUGAUACACAGUUUUAGGAGGUUCAUUCUCUAGUCAGUAGACGGCUUAUCUGACUUGCUUGAUUAAGUCAUGACUCAGGCACUCAACAGCUGUGAGGACCUUGUUGACCCAUCGAGACAACUCAGUUAUAUGUACUGUAUAUACUGUACUGAGCUUGCUGGUAGAUGCACCACUUAAAUCAUGGCUGCAGAACACGCACAUCCUGCAACUGCAACAUGACCCUAAAGUGCACAAAGGUGCGUGCACAGGUCAGUUUCUUGCUGCUUGCAUCUGUAUUAAUACUAUUAUUGUAGGUAUUACUCAUUGUUUGCUUAUGUUAUGGUUAUACCACUUAUUCUCAUCAAUUGAUUGAAUUGGUUGGAGGAAAAAAAGAAAGAAAAAAAGAAAAAAAAAAUAGCACCUACAGCUUGAGUGAGCUGUCACCCUGCCAAAGACCCAUGACAUAACAAAAAUACUGACAUUCACUUACUUUCUCUUGAGCUACUGAUGAUAUCUUUGCUUAAGUUGUUCAUUUUUCCAAAACUAAAAUUCCAUCUAAAGCACUACAGCACAUUACAAGUCCAGCAUUGGCAACAGCAUGAUCCCAAUUAUCUACCAUGGGGCUCUGAGGUUGAGUGGGUUGCCCUCCAAUUGGAGGAUGUGCAAAUCAAUCCCCAGUUCCCACGUUCUCCGUGUGGAAAUAUCCUUUGGCAGGAUACCGAAACCUCAAAUUGCCGCGGAGGGCAUAGCCUGGGGAGUGUGAAUGUGAGUACAUAAUUAGCCGAUUCGUGGUCUUUUGUUGCACCAAAUUAGUGUACGAAGGCCAUACCCCUGAAACAAAAAAGAAAAACCUCUAAUCUCUCAUCUUUAAUAAAACAAAUAAGCAUUUUCUCUUUUCUAUGCAUAAUGAAAAGCUUCUGAAAGCGUCAUUUGCCAAAAAUACAUCCAUGCACUGCUCAAUUACAAAACCCAAUUCCAUUGAAGUUGGGAAAUUGUGAUAAACGUAAAUAAAAACAGAAUACAAUGAUUUGCAAAUCAAUUUCAAUUCAUGUUCAAUUGAAUACACUACAAAGACAAGAUAUUUAAUGUUCAAACUCAUGUUUGAUGGCAGCAACACGUGACAAAGAAGUUGGUAAAGGUGGCAAAAAAUACUGAGAAAUUUGAGGAAUGCUCAUCAAAUACCUAUUUGUAACAUCCCACAGGUGAGCAGGCUCAUUGGGAACAGGUGGGUGACAUGAUUGGGUAUAAAAGCAGCUUCUCAAAAAAUUCUCAGUCAUUCACAAGCAAGGAUGGGGCGAGGUUCAACACUUUGUGAACAACUGCGUGAGCAAAUAGUCGAACAGUUUAAGAACAACGUUUCUCAAAAUACAAUUGCGAGGAAUUUAGGGAUUUCAACAUCUACGGUCCAUAAUAUCAUCAAAAGGUUCGGAGAAUCUGGAGAAAUCACUGCACUGUAUCAAAAACCGACAUCAAUGUGUAAAGGAUAUCACCACAUGGGCUCAGGAACACUUCAGAAAACCACUGUCAGUAAAUACAGUUCAUCGCAACAAUUUCCCAACUUCAAUGGAAUUGGGUUUUGUAUAUGUUCCCGCUACAUACAGCACCUCCAGACUCAGUAGGAAUACACGACACUUUGCUAUGUUGAGGCAGUGAAGCAAUUAAAUAUUCAGCCUGAGAUAAGCAUUAAGAAAAAAACGCACAGCUGCUCUCAUAAUCUAAACUCUCAUGCAUCAAACCACUCUUAUUGUUAAUUAACUGCCAUAUGCAUUUUUACCAAAUGGAAAAGAACCAAACGUGCACGGCUGAUAUGAAGCAGCAAACUUGUGUGCUUACAUUAGCAUGUACAUUUAAUUACUGCUCUCUCUGCCUCCAGGAUAAGUCUGUCACCGUGAAUGACUCGGCGUAUUUUUUUUUUUUUUCACACCGAGGCUGUUAGGCAGCUGUGUCGGGAUUAACUUUGGAUGAUUUCAUUGCGGAUACACAGAAGUAUUGCUAUUCCAGCAUUGAGAUGACUCACACGUAUCUAUUCCUACAUGUCAGGUAGGAUUACCAUCAAAGAGUGAGGACCGGGCCAUCCUCCCGGCUACUUCCUUAGCUUCCAAAACACUAACCUGCUACAAAUACAAGUGGUUGCAGAGUGCUGUUGCUAUGAAAUAUUUAUGUACGGUCAUUAAAUCUCUUUAUAAAAACUGCAUUUUAAUCGUACACCAUAUGGCGCCUUAAAUCAAACCUCUUCAUAACCCUUCCACUGUUAAGCACGCUCGAUGAAAUAUUGCAAAGUAGAAACUGGGUUGCUCAUGGCUCUAUAAUUGUUUUUACUCGUUAUUCCAUGAACAUUGCAGGCUAAUAUUGUCAUCUUUGCCUCCUGAAGUCCCCUAGUAAGCGAAUCUAAUUUCUUUCUCGGUAAGAUCACAUCGCCACUGCGCUCCAGAAUGAACAAUUCUCGGUUAACUCCUCUCAAGCUGAGCCUCUGCGUGGGGUUGGCGUGGAGCAGAAAAUAGCCAGAGAGCAGCCGCACUUGUCGGGGGAGACCGUACCAUCUGCUUCUGACUGUCUCCACUUACCCCCUCCUUGAGUGAAAGAAAGAGAUGAAUGAAGCCAUCAAUGAGAUCCUUGUCUUAAUCUAAUGGUUCUGCUACAGUUUCUCUCCCGAUGGCACGAAGCUCCUUCAUUCCUGAUCUCUGACAUUCACCAUUAUCUCCAAGGGUCUUACAAGCCUUGGAUGAUGGAAAAUAAGUGUCGAUCGUUGCCGUCAUGGUCUGGGAGAAUGAAGAAGCAAGCUAUGUCAUUUUAGACCAACGAAUUGGCCUCCAUUACUUUUCUAUCUGUGAGGUUAAAUGUGGCGAGUGUGCACUCAAGCUAAAGCCUCGAUGGCUUAACUGCACGUAUACUUGAGUGUGAGCUUGUUGGACUGUUGAAGUCAUAAUCUAUCUGCUACAUAGAUGCACAGAUAUGGUGUCAGAUAUACUGACCAAUCACAGUACUUUAUUUAAAAACAAGGCAGGCUUUAAUGUGAAGUUGGCCACGUCCUUUUUAGGAUUGAUAUUAGCCAUUCCACCGAAUAAAUGAACAAAUCUGGCAACUCAGUACCUUAAAAUAAAGAAACUGUGAUUAUUGACAGCUGGUGUAUAACGGUCUGUUAAGGAAACACAUACCGUAUUUUUCAGGCGAUAAGGCGCAUUGGAUUAUACAGCGCACUGUGAAUUAACGUGUCUUUGUUCACACAUAAGGCGCAUUACGUAAUGAUUGGUUUAUUGUUGCUAGCGCAUACUCCGGGCCUAGGCUGCCUUACACGAAUGCACUUCUAGUUUAAACAUUACAAUCAGGCAGUCUUGUAGACUCCUCAGGGGUCCUGUUACGGGGCCAAUCAGGUAGUGACGUUGCGUACCGUAACGCUCUGAAUAUCCAUUAAGUGGGGUGGCUUUGUUGCUUACCAAAGUUGCACUUAGACAUUUCAACAGAUAUUUGAGCGCACUGUACCACAUAAAAUCGGUCAGUAAGCACAACAAGUAAUCAAGCAUAAGGUGCGCUGGAUUAAAAGGUGCAGUGUUGAUUUUUGAGAAAAUUUAAGGAUUUUAAGUGCGCCUUAUUGUCUAAAAAAUACGGUAAAUCAUGACUUUUUGAUGAGUGAUAAGUGAUGAUAUUAGAAAAAGGUUCAAAGUUAGAGGGUUUUCAUGUUUUCUUAGUCUAGAGUGUGAGCAAAGGUCCUUACACACCGGGAACAACGCUAAUAUAUACGAUGUGAAAUACGAAACAUUCGGAGGUAAAUUUUGACUCGCCUGACUACACACAUCAAGCGCGCUACGAUUUUGUGAUUUUCCGGGGGGGAAAAAAAGACGCAUGCCAGGUGGAGGAGAGAAGACUGACACAAGAGCAGACUGACUGUUUUCAGUUCUAAUUAGACUCUAGUGUUGAGAUGGCUGUCUGUCAUGAUAGCAUGUACUGAGUCGGGGCCAGUACCAGAUAAACACAUUAAACUAUAAUCCAUAAACGUAAGGUAACAACCGAGACCUAAUGGUGCUGUGACAGCAACACGAUUGAGUUUGAGACAGUGAAAAUACAUAUGGUAUGUUGUAUCUGAACAGGUUAGCUUACGAGCUAAAGUUACUUAGCACAGAUGAAAGUUAAAACAAAGACGUUUAGCAAACUGUUAAAGCACACAAACCAUCGUCAUAUGAGAAAUCCGACGCUAUGACUCUCCACAAGUUGUCCUUCAGGUCGUUAUCUUUGUAAUGUUUGUGUUUUUUAUCAAAAAGCACUCUGUUCUCCGACACGUAAACAAUUAGCCGGUCGGCCAUGUUGGAUAUACCGGUGAAUCUGACGUCGCAACAACACGCAAUCUGAUUGGUCAGAAGUGGACACACAGUAUGCAAAACUUUAGAAGA
RNAcentral lists this long non-coding RNA (74700 nucleotides) under Xyrichtys novacula (pearly razorfish). Lineage: Eukaryota; Metazoa; Chordata; Actinopteri; Labriformes; Labridae. The record is from RNAcentral.